GUGGCUAUGCUAAUCUGAAUCUUAAUAAUAAAACUCUAGCAUGGAUAUGAUGAAUAGUUGCUCUGCCUAAUUUACAAAUUUGAAGUUCUCUCUCAAGUUUAGACAUAACUGUUAUAAUUUAAAGCUUGCUCUAGAUCUAAAUUUGUGGGAUAAAAACUUGAUCUGAAAUCUAAGUUGUUAACGGAUGUGAUAUGGGAAGGUUGAGCUGCUGUUUAUCUGUUCCUAGAGAUGCUAGAAUUCUGGAGAAUUUUAUCUUUGAAAAAUCUUUAAAAUAUUGCAUGAUGAGUUCCUGUAUGAUGAAAGUUUAAAUUCCUACCACAGCCAUAUAUACAUGCUUGCUAGACUUUGAGCCACACAUUUACUAUUUACUGCUUAUGAGCAUUGAGUGUGGUCAAGCUGUGUAGACCCUUAGACGCUUGUCAUGUGGUUAAAUCAAGAUUUUACUUGCACAUUCACUCAUAUAUGCUACUUCUACUCCGGAAGUACCAUCCACAUAUAUCCACUCAUUUCCAUCUCCAGAACCACCCAAAAAUAUUCUACUCCUAAUCCGGGAGAGAAUAACCAAAAAUAUUUCUGUCUUUUCUUGUGAAAUAAAUGCUCAAGUUAUCUUGUUACUACCACUUGCUAUAUUAGCUCAUGAGAUGAGUGCUCUAAAAAAAGGAGAGAAAAAAAUAUACGAGGAAAUAAAAAGGGGCAAGUGCCCGGAACCUCGAAAGAAAAGAAAAAGAGUGAGACGAGAGGUAAAAAUGGACAAGUGUCCGACAGUAGAAUUAGGGGUACAGGAUACCCACCUGAGAGGAAAGAAAAAAAUGAAAGAUAGAGCAUCUCAUUCUCCUCAUAAAGUUUCAAAAAGCAAGGAAGGUAUGUAUCCCCUCAAAAGAGCAAAAGUAGAAUUAGACUUCCACCAUUGUUAUCACCAUCAUCACCAUACACCAUUCAUUCGCCACACAUGCACAUCUUGAUUUGGCUUAUUAACUUCUUUCUCUGGAUCCAUGGUUUGACUAUGCAAUAAAUGUCUUGUAAGUAUGUAUUAGCUGUCUCCCACCUAUGAGCUUCAGAUAUUAAAGCCUUAUUAGAGUAGGGUGAGAGAGAAGGCAAUGUCACUAUGUCUUAUACCACAAAUACCACAUAUCUUGAGAGAAGGCAUAUACCAUCACUGCCUUGGUAAGGAUCCAGAAAUACCACAAAAGAGAGAUUUAGAGAGUCAUACAAGGAAUCUCUAAGUUUUAUUUGAAAAUCUACAAAAACUCCAGAGCUAUAGCUGAUCAAGAACAAGAGACAUGGCACUUGGCUAGACUGUUCUAUCUUUCAACUACUCAAGACAGAAGUGACGGUUACAAGUCCCAUGGUGAAAGGUAAAGUAAGUAAGUUUUAGUUCUUGACAGUUUACUCUAACUCAGAGAUGAGAUCUUAUUUAAAAGCAUAUGUACCAUCAAAUUUUUAAAGAUAUUGCAACAACUUCUGAUCCAUUGCUGAGUCUAUCCUUGCUCAGGGACGAGCAAGAGGUAAGCUUGGGGGAGUUUGUUGACGGUCCUUAAGUAUCAAAUUUAAUUAUCAAAUAAACAAAGAAAAGGAUCCAAAUGAAAUCAACAUCUAGACUUAGGGUUUUAUAUGACAGAAUUCUAUGAGUUUUGGUGUUUGUCUAUUUCUGCAGGAUGUUAUCAGGAAAUACGAAAGAAAGGCCCACACGUCGGGAUUACAUAGAGAUAUUAACGUGCCAUGCAAUUAUCUUACAUCUAGAAGACUCCAGAAGCCACGGGAAGGAAGCGGAGGCCGAACGGGGCCAGAGGCAAGGCGCCCGCCCUCCUGCCCUGGGCGCCCGCCCUGACUUGGAGCCCAAUCAGGACUCUUUCUCUCGGGAGAUCUCCACCGACUUAAAGGAUCAAGAAUAACCGUUCAAUCAAUGUCGGUUUGAUCCGACGGCCCAGGUUCACUUGAUGGGACUAUAUAACCAGACCCCCUGGCCCCUGGAGGAGGCACCCCUUGAUCAUUAUUCAUUAUUCAUAGACAGAGCAAAAGCUAGGGUUUAGAGAUGAGAGCUCUCCUCUCUUCUCUAAACUAGAGUAGAUCUAGAUAGUAGCAAGAUGGAGAGCGAAGGAGGAUUAGAGGAGAGGCCGGCCUGUCGGUUCUUCCUCCGGUUGUACUUCGUCAUGAUCAAGCUCUAAUCAAGCUUGCUCAUGGGAUGACUCUGGUAAUCUACUUCUAAUUCAUUAUGCAAUUACUAAUUAUGUAUGUUCUGGUUCACAACUCUUUUGAGUAUUCUAAUCGAUAGGACGCUAUAGGUGAGAGUUGUAGUAUAGGUGUAAGCGAGGUGCUUAGAUCUAGAUUACUUGUGGAUAUCCCUGUCUAGCUGGAUCGUGUGGUAGGCCGCGUAGGUGACAGUUACGUUGGUCCUCUGUAGUCCACCUCUCGUUAGCAGGACGGGUAGGGUUUAUCGGCCUAUGGAUAAACAUCCUUUGUGGUGAACUCUUAUCACGUGGUUCGUCCCAGACAUAGACAUACCCCUUUGAAGUAGAGAAACCAUAGUUAUCCUCUCUAUUCUGCUACCAUCGCCCAUAUACUAGAAUUGCUCUAUUCUCUAUUCCCAUAUCACUGUUAUCUUACCUCUAAUAUUGUUCUUAUUCGAUUCUACCAUCUUUCCUGUUUACACCUAUUUACUUAUCUUGGUUAAGUUAGAGCGUAGAUCAGUUCUCCUGUUUCCCUGUGGAUACGAUAAAACCUUUAACCGGGUAAAAGCUUCAACGGUAUCCGUGCACUUGCGGAUUAUCUGUGUGCGUAUAAAUACCAUAGUACACACUAGUGCCAUGCUAGGGAUGACAACCUAGUAUUCAAGUGGUGUUAGCAAGUUUCAACAGUCAUCAAUUACCAAAAAGGGGGAGAUUGAAAGGUCCUUGUUUGGUUUUGGUAAUUGAGUGACAACUUAGGUGGACUAAUAGUGUUUAUAUGAGAUACACAGGAGAUUAGUCCACAGGUGAUGAUGUGAUGAUGUAGGAGCUCAUUGCAUAUGAGACAUAACAUGGAGUCAUGUGACCAAGGUGGAGAAGAUCAAGAUGAGGCUUGGCUUGAUGGACCGGUUGCAAGAGUGAAGGGCAAGUCGGAGGCUUUGAAGCGAGGGACUGCGUGUGACGGUGAAGCUUGAGCAAGACUUGGCGCCGAUGGACCGAGGCAACGGUGAAGAGCAAGUGAGGUCAAGAUCGAUGAACCAAUACGGUCACGUGAUGAUAUGAAGUGGAUCAUAUCAUUUGGUGAUUGGUUGGUGCAUAUGUUGCUUCAACAUUGGAGGAGAUGGAAUGGAAUGCGCAAGGCAAAGGUAUAACCUAGGGCAUUUCCAUUUCACCGGUCAUAGGUGUGUAGAGAAGUUUAUGACCGGAUUUAGGAUAGAUGGCCGUACUAUCAAGAGGGGCAAACUUGUUUGCAUAUCGAUCAUCUAGUGCCACUUGAGCGAUCUAACUUUGCAUACGUGUUAGGAUCGAGUGGCGUGGAAAGUUGAGAGGCUAACUCCUUUGAGAAAAUGUUUGUGAAAAUGCUAACACACUUGCACAUGGUGGUGUACACUUGGUGGUGUUGGCACAUUUGCAAAGGAGGUGGAGUUCCUAGGGUUGAGAUGGGGUGAGGGGUGUCGGUGCUUUUGAGAAAAUUAAGUGUAUAUUUUCUAUUGCGCCGGUGGGAAUUUUGGAGAAGUUGCGGGGAGAAACACUCACCGGACGCUGGUGUUGGCAGCACCGGACGCUGGUCCAGAGCAUCCGGUGUGGUGUCUGUGGCUCAGGUGUGCAAAGCGCACCGGACGCUGGGCGGUUACUGUUCGAGCGUCCGGUGGUGUCUGACGUCAGCGAGUGCGCGCGAGGAGUUUCUGACCGGUGAGCACCGGACGCUCAGGGUGCGUCCGGUGACCGUGCGAGUUUGCGGAGCUCUCUGCGCACGGGUCCGGUGUGCACCGGACGCGUCCGGUGUGACGCUGUAGAGCGUCCGGUGGUGCUGUGCAGGUGCGCGUGUGCAGUAGCCAUUGGCGGCAACGGUCGAGUUCAAAUGGCUAGUGACACGUGGCGGUCAGCUGAGCACCGGACGCUGGGGGUUGAGCGUCCGGUGGCUCCCUGUGAGCGUCUGGUGCCCACGUGUUUUGCCCAGUAAAGGGGCAACAGCUAGUUUAGCCCUUGGGGCUAUAAAUAGAAGUGGUGGCCGGCCUUGGCUGGUGCUGAGCACCCUUGGAACUUAGUGUCCAUGCGUGGGGAGUGCUAGGAAAGCCUCUAACUCACUUGUGCUUGCAAGAGUGCGAAUUAAUAGCGAGUGAGUGAUUCUAGUGCGUUGCAUUGAGAGAUUGCAACGAGUGGCACUAGGUGUUCGUGUUGCAAGCCGGUGGUGCUUGUUACUCUUGGAGGUUGCCACCUCCUAGACGGCUUGGUGGCUUGUGACUCCGUCAAGGCACGCAAGGAGAUUGUGCGGUGCUCCGGAGAGGAGAUUGUGAGGGGUACGGUGCUCACCCCGCGGGGAUCGCGAAGAGCAACUCUAGUUGAGCGAGACGUGAAGAGCGACAAGUGGUCCGGCCAGGUCAAGUGCUAGAGCUUGUGGUAAGCACUCCACGUGGGAGAGUGUGACUUGCGGGUCACCACUAGCAAGAGGACCGGUGGCAACCUUGGAGCUUGUCUCAACGGGGACGUAGCUUGGUGGCAACCAAGUGAACCUCGGGAGGAAAUCAUCGUGUCAACUUUGUUCUUCCCGUUGGUUUGAAAGUCCCUAACACAAGCUUGUAUUUACAUUCAUAUAUUUGUGCUUGUGUAGUUGCUCUUGUAAUUAGUUAGCUUGUGUAGCUUUCUAGUUACCUUCUUGCUUGUGUAGCUAGAAGUAGUUCCCUUGCGUGACUAAUUUGGUUUGUGUAACCUUGUUAAUCACAUUGCUUAGUUUGUGUAGCUAAUUUUUUGUGCGCUCUAAUUUGGCAUUGGUUGCCUUGUUAUUGAGCUUGCUAGUGAGCUUAGGAGCUUUGUGCUUUUGCUUACUAAGUUGUGUAGGAGCUCCCCGGUUUGCAAAGUACUAGUGGCAUAGGUUUGUGUGACCUUGCUUCUAGAAUUGGUUAGGUGAGCUCUUGCUAAGGUAGCACCUUGUUUGCUUGUUUAGGAUCUUUUACAUGGUGCUAGAGAACUUAGAUAGAAGGGUGUAGUCUUGGCUAGACCGAUAGUUUUAAUUCCGCACUUAUUUCGGUUAGCCGGUGCGAUAAGUUUUAGAAAGGACUAUUCACCCCCCUCUAGUCCUCCAUCUCGACCCUUCAACAUGUGAAAAUGAUGUUAUAACUGUUUAAUGUGGCAUGGUAGGUCCUGUCUAUACAAAAGUUGUAGAUAACUCUUUCAUCUAGCUUGUGUUAUAGUUUCAUAUCAUUUGGAUAAAUGGUUUGUGAGUCAUAAGGGUAUAAAGUUUAUCUGUCAAAAUGCUUGUUCUUUGGAAUUCCUGGACCAAAUUCUAUAAAUCUGCAUGUUUGACUUAGGUAACUUUCUAAUCAUGCUAAUAUGAUUAAAUAUGAAUUGUAUACAAUUUUAUAAGCUUUCCAUAAUGUCUUAUUGCAUGGAUUUUGGAUCUAUAGAACUCUAGUUAUGAUUUAUUUACGCAACUGUUGCAUGUAUGUCCAGAAUUGCUAAUAAUGCAUGAAUGCUUGAUUAACUUACAUUGUGUGUGGAUUGCACAGAAUGAAGGUGGCAACAUUGUGCUAGAUGUUUGUUCAAAGAUCUCCAGACUAUGUGUUCGAUCUGCAGGCUAUGUGUUUUUGUUCAAAAAACUAGCACUUAAUGAUUUUUUAUUAUAUAUUUGUUCUUGUUCUCCCAUAAUGCGGUGAUAUGUUGUACGAAUGUGGUGAUCUGCAGGCAAUUUUUUUGUACUGUAUGAAUGAGAUGAUAUGUUGUAUGAAUUAAAAAUCAUUUUAGUGAAUUUUAUUUGAAUCAAAACUAUGUAUCUGUUCCCAAACGCAUGAUAAAAAUCUCGUUCCCAAACGCCUGCCGAAGUACCUCUCGCCAAAACGUACUCCUACAUCUACACUUGUCAUAUUCCGAUCGACCAAACACACGCGCUCGCGAAACGUACACGUUUCUAGAUUGUUCUAACGUGCAGUGAACUCAAUUGUAUUAUUUUUUACGAGCUACCGCAAUCUCAAAUUGUAAAUCAUUCCAUGAACCUUGUAGAGUCAAAGUAUCUCAAAUUUAAUCAAAUUUAUAUGAUAGAAUAAUAAUAUUUAUGUAUCCACUAAGUAUCAUUAGAUUUUUCAUUAAAUUGUUGUUAAAAUAUUUUGACUUAUCAAAUAAGUCAUAAUUUGAUAAGCAAAGUUACAAAUAUGAUUUUUUUGCAAACCUCAAAUUGUUACAAAUAUAAUUUUUUUCAUUAAUAUGUAUCCACUAUAAAUUUACUUGAGACAUAAAUGCUAAUAACUUGGCGUCCAAUUUGCAGAAAUAGCCAAUCCGAAUGACAACAUGGAUGAUGCAAUAAUGGACCUAAUCAACAACGGCGCCAAUCCAGAUCCCCAAGGCGAAGAUGAUGGGAGUCAGUACUUUGCUGAUUAUGAAGAACUUGUGAGAGACAAUCCUGAUGAGGUCUAUCUACAAUCUAGUAUAUAUGUAUAUAUAUGAAAUUAAAAUAAAUGACAUUUAUACUAAUAUAUUUAUACUUGUUUGUGUAGCCCUCUAAAUCGGCGACAACUUCUGAGAAGAGUAGAAAAGUGCGCGGCCCGAAGAAGUCGUUGGAGGGUCGGUACAUUCUGUCGGAAUUCGAUGAGGGUACAGGACAAGUACUUGGGGCUAAUUCUAAAAAAAAUUGUUGCGCACUGUGGCUACCUUGUAAUGGACAGGCUCUCGGUCAGUGCUCGAGAAUGGAGGCAACAGAAAGAUAACCCUAAUAUUAGUUUUGUCUCAGAUCGUGACAAUGAAUUUAUUUGGCAAGAUAUCCUUCAACAUUUCACGCUCGAUACACAGGAUGAAGCUUUGAAGGAGAAGGUUAAAAUCUGGGCUAUGCAGAAGAUGACCAAACAAUUUCAGGCUUAGAAGAAGACAUUAUACAAGACUUUUGUUGCACAAGGCCGGACACCAAAUUUCACCAACAAGGCCUACAUCAAGUUGAGGCCUUUUUGGGAUGAGUUCGUAGAGUUUAAGAACUCAGAAGAGGGUCAGGCACGGAUGAUCAAGAAUCAAGAAAAUGCUAAACAAAAGCAAUACCACCAUCACUUGGGUUCAGGUGGCUACAGGACUGCUAUUCCUAAGUGGCAAAAGCUGGAACAGGAGAUUCUUGGGAGAGGGAUCGAACCAGAAUCAAUGCACUGGCCCGAGCGCGCCAAGUAUUGGUUCUUUGGUCACGGGGGAACCAUAGACCUAGAGAAGAUAGUGUACGGUGAAAAGCUCGAGAGAGUAGGACAGGGAAUGGCCUAUGCUAGAGCAUUAGUUGAAAGCGGCACCUGGCAGCCAAAUAGAGAAAAGGAUGAGCUGACAUACGCCCUGGAGACUGCUGAACACGGUGGGCGAACCAGAGGGUAUGGGGAGGUAUCAUGGGAGCAUGGCUUCCCUAAAGGUAGACCGACUUAUAGAAGUCGCCAACGAAAGAAGGAAGAGGAAGCAGAGCGGUUGCAUAGGUUGGAGGCAAUGGUGAUGGAGUCACGCGAAGCGGCUCGUGAAGCGAUAGCGCGAGAGAAAGCGCUUGAAGAGAGAAUGAACGAGGAGAUCAAAAGACAAGUACAGAUUGUAGUAAGUUCUAUACAAGGGCAAACUGCAUCAGAGCCUACAGUCAACAUUAGCCCCCCCGGUCAGUUGAAAAGUAGUUGCGCUUCCACGGAGAUGCCAACUAUUCAAGACGACGUGGGGCUGCACUUUCCGGUGGAUGACAUCACUGAACCUCUGACAACAUGUGAGCUGUACAUUCCACAGGGAACUGCCACAGUCAUGGUUGCUGUCACUGUUGUAACUCCUGUCGACCCUACGAGGACACCAAGAAUCCAUGGGGCGAUAGUUCCAGCUGGAUAUGUGAAGCGCCCCUGGUAAACUAGGAACUCAAAUGUGAUACAAUACUAGUCCUAGGAGGCUAGUAACACAUUUAUUACAUCAGAUAAGUUUCAGCGCAGUAGUCUUGGAAAGCAUGGACAAGGAAGGCACGCUAUAAUAAUAAGACACCAAAAUACAACACAGGUCCAAAGGACCCAGAAACAAACGAUAUCGCCAUCGAACAUCUGACGAGUCCCAAUGCCACAGGCUUAGUUGGGUGCAGACACGACCUUACUCGAACACCACUUCGGAAUCGAAGUCCGGAUCUUUCUCUGUUUAAUAAAGCAAGGGUGAGUACAAAGUACUCAGCAAAUCCAACCUUACCCUACGGAAGGGGAUAACAGUAUAUAUGCAUAUGGAUAAAUCAAGGAUGAGGCUUAGUUUUUGUUGACACCGUUUUUGGGCACGUGUCUAGGAUGGCAAGGUAAGGUGGCAGUACGAUGUUUACAAGGUAAGUUGCCGAUGAGGAUGGUUGCCGAUGAGGGAGAAGUUGAACGUGACUAAGUCUACAGGCAGUGAUAUUGUGCCUAUGGCUAGAUAAGAAAGUCUGCCGAUGACUAUGGCAAAGGGUCUGCCGAUGAUGCGAAGGGGGAGUCCGGAAGCUGCCGGUCGUUGUGUGGAGGAGUUUCGGUUUGUCACGAGGGAUGGUUUUGUUAUUUCCUUAAUUAUUUACAUCGCUUUGUAUACGGAUUCCGUGUAAUUUGGAAUUCGAAUUCUAAUCGUGUCUGGUUGUAGCUCUUUGAGCAGGGUAUAAAUAUAGACCCUAGGGCCUUGUAAUGAGGGAUCUAUCAAUCAAUCAAACACACGUUUUUACUCAUAUUCCAGCAUCUAUUUUUCGACGACUUCGUCAUACUUUUUCUCUUUUAUUACGAGUUCUUAGGAAUUCGUCGACUUAAGCUCGGCGUAUUCUCGAGUUCCGCGUGAGUACCUCUUAGCCGUGAAAUCCGGGCGCAUCGCUGUUGUCAGGACUAAAGUAUUCGAGUUAUCACCUUUGCCGAUAGUAAGGUCAAAUCGGCUGGCACGCCUUAACGUUUGAAUCGGGUAUUAGCCCUUUGUGUUUGCAGAUCAGUUUUGCAUCAACACAUCUUUUGGCACGCCCAGUGGGACAAGAUUCAAGAUCAAGAUCAAUAUGUCGAUCUCUGACCUCGAUCAGGAGAACGUCAUCCCCGUGACGGAGGCCAAUCUUAAGGAUGAGCAGAAGCAAGCUAUUGCCCAAGCCAUGGAAGAGUUCAAGCAGCAAUGCCUGAGGUCUUUCAGUAUAAACAGGAGCGGCGAAGUGGUCCAGAAAGACGCACUGCCGGCACCACGGCAGGUUACCUUCGACGCCAAUCCUGGCAAGCUUCAAGAUAUGGUUGACAAUGCUAUCAACCGAGCUUUGAUCAACCAAGCUGGUGUACUAUCUAAUACGGUUUUCAAUGCCAUGGCAAGAACUUUCAAGGAAGGACAAAUCCCACCAAAUUAUGUGGGCCCCUCUCACCAUCAGCCAACGGCACUAGAGGUCACGGCUCCAUCAGAUACUUUGACGGCUGCAAGUGCACAAUCUGCCGUCCCUCCGAAUACAUCGGGAGCUACUGGUGCACUAUCUAUGCCGAUGAUAACCAACCCACAGACUUCAAUUGGGCAACAUAAACUGACAACGGAUAUGUUGGCAUCGGCAAUGUCAGGGUUGACUCUCCCUCCUAACUGGUGGGGUUACAGUAUGCCUCAAGAGUUGACACCAGGAACAUCACAAAUAACUGACAUGAGGGGCAAGACUCCUAUGACAUCGGCGCCCCCCAAUGCGCCGGUGAACCAAAGUCCUCGGUACACUACGACUACUACUGCAAGGCCUCACACUGGAAAUCCUCAAGAUUCAAUGUUCCAGAUGCCUAAUGCAUCGGCAGAGUCAAUGCUGGUGCAACAGAGGUCUAUGGCCCAGUCAGGGUAUGUCAAUUCAAUGAUGGUACCCAAUUACCAAUCAUCGGCAGCACCUAUGCCGAUGAACGCUAAUAAUGGAUGGCUUGGACAGCAAGUCUUUCCACAAUCACCCCAGCAGAGUUACCAGACUACAGGGUUCCAGCAAGGGCAGGUCUAUCCCGGGUUCCAAGGUCAGGGGAUUCCCAAUCAGCCAAUGAAUUUCGGACAGCAACUCGGGGGACAGCAACUCGGAGGACAGCCAAUCGGUGGACAGCAGUUUGGUGGUCCGCAGAUUGGAGGGCAGGUGAUCAAUCCAAUGUUCCGUGCAGAUCACGUCCCGAACAGACACGUGGAGGUUCGCCACCAAGUGCCAGAUCCGCAGCCGCCUCAUCGGCAAGAUGCCGAUGCAUAUUGGGCCGAUAAGAUUGCUGAAGUAAUGAGGGAACAAUUUGGGAUAAAACCCAAAGUCAACACGUACUCUUAUCGGACACCGUAUCCUCCUGCGUAUGAUUUGAUCCCGCUUCCACAUCGGUACAAGGUACCGGAUUUUACAAAGUUUUCCGGGCAGGACGACACGUCAACCAUGGUGCAUGUCAACAGGUUCAUCAUUCAAUGUGGAGAGGCUGGUAACAGGGACGAAUUGAGGGUUCGUCUAUUUUCUUCGUCAUUGUCUGGAUCGGCCUUUACUUGGUUCAUAUCAUUACCUCCCAACUCAGUAAUUACUUGGGCCGAUCUGGAGAAACAAUUCCACAAAUACUUCUUUUCGGGGGUUCACGAGAAGAAGAUCACCGACUUGGUCAAGUUGAGACAACGUAAUGAUGAGUCGGUUGAGGGUUUUGUGCAGAGGAUACGAGAAGUCAAAAAUAAAUGCUAUAGCUUGGUUCUGGAUGAUCGGCAGCUAGCCGAUUUGGCUUUCCAGGGUUUGUUGCCACAUAUCAGGGAUAAGUAUGCCUCUCAGGAGUUCGAAAGUUUAAGUCAUUUGGUGCAGAGGAUUUCUGAUCAAGACAUCAAGCCUUUCGAGCCCAAAAGAGCAUGGAAUAAGAAAGUGUCAUUUGUCGAUGAAGCAACAAGCUCAGAUUCUGAUGAAGAACCAGUAAUCGGCUUGGCAGAGUGGGUAAAAAACAAGAAGCCGAUGUCUUGUCCUUUUGGGCAGAAGGAACCAGAGAAGUUUGCUUUUGACACCGCUAAGGCUGAUAGGAUAUUUGACUUUCUACUUCAGGAAGGUCAGAUCAAACUGUCACCUAAUCAUGUGAUCCCAUCGGCAGAAGAGUUGAAGAGGAUGAAAUAUUGCAAGUGGCAUAAUGCAACUUCCCAUGACACUAACGAGUGCAAAGUAUUCAGACAGCAGCUGUAAUUCGCUAUAGAGUCUGGGAGAAUCAAGUUUGACAGUUCCAAGGCCCAGAAGCCGAUGAAGAUAGACCAACAUCCUUUCCCGACAAACAUGUUGGAUGCUAAGGGGAAGGCUAAGGUCUUAACCUCGGAGACAGCUGAGAAGAGUGCAUCGGUAGAUCCUCAGCAUCAAGUUACUACUGCCGAUGCAAGAAGUAAGGGCUUGGUCCAGGAAGGAACUAGCUCAGGAAGGCCUCCUCGGUCUGGUAUCAUCAUAACUCAUAGAAGGCCUCGAGAAAAUUGGCAACAACGGGAAGAUCGGUAUCGGCGCCAGCAGGAAGAUUAUCGACGGGAAGAAGAAAGACGCCGACAGGAGUGGAAUCGGCACAGAGAUCAUUGGAAUUGUCCGUUCUUCAUCCAUUGUUGGGAGGAAAAUAUCAAGCUUCCUACUGUCAGAGACUGCCCUGAGUGCAACGGUUAUGAUCGGUACUAUAGAACCGAUCAGCGUUAUUAUGAUGAUGAUUGGCGAUUUAAUGGGCCAAUCAGAGGAAGGGCGUCAGUUCAUGAUCGGCUGAGGGGCAGGCUUAGCGUUCACGAUAGGCUUGGUGACCGUGUCCAGUAUUUUCCCAGGAACCAGGAAGAGCUCGAGGAGAUGGCUAAUGCACGGGUUCCCGAUGAGUUCAUAUUUUGCAGAGAUGCUAACACGCAUCGUAUGGAGUCAAGGGAGAACCGACGCCCGGCAGCAAGGCAAAAGCUACUUCCUCCAUGGUGUCCUGAAGGAUUAACCAAGACACAGAAAAGGAGAUUGCAGCGUGAAAGGCAAGAGGAGCUAAGCAAGGGCGAGAACUCUGGAAGUCAGCAGUCAUCAGAAACUAAGAGGGAAGGUCCAUCGGCAGGAGUCAACAUGGUCUUUAUGUUGCCGAUGGAGUUUCUUGCACCAUCCAGUAAUGAUAAGUUGGAAUUUUCUGAUCAGAUAGCUCAGCUGGCUCUGGAUCCGAUGACGGCUAUCUUUGAGAAACCUACCGAUAACGAGAGACAGCAUCUCAAAGCUCUGUUCGUCAAAGGAAGGGUUGAUGGGCAGCCAAUGACCAAAAUCCUAGUUGAUGGUGGGGCUGCUAUUAAUAUUAUGCCGUACGUAGUGUAUCGGAAGCUUGGGAAAGGAGAUCAGGAUUUGACCAAGACCGAUAUGAUGCUCAAGGAUUUUGAAGGAAACGUGUCUCCAGUCAAUGGGGCGAUAUGUGUGGAGUUGACCAUCGGCAGCAAAACCUUGCCGACAACUUUCUUCGUGAUCAUCGGAAAGGGUGCUUACAAUUUAUUGUUGGGAAGAGAUUGGAUUCAUGCCAAUUGUUGCAUCCCAUCUACAAUGCACCAAUGCUUGGUUCAGUGGGUAGGUGACAAGAUUGAGAUUGUCCCAGGAGAUUCUUCUUAUGUUAUUGCAUCGGCAGAGGCGGAUACCUAUGAAAGGACUAGGUGCAUUUCAGGGGAGGUUUGGGAGAAAGAUUUUCUCAAAGUUGCCGAUUACGAGAUUCCACCGAUCCAAGCAGUCGGUUCUGACGACGGUUUUUAAUGGAUAGAUUCGCCGAUGAUGGAAAAUUGGGCCAGGGGUUCACAUCGGCCGAUGAUUUGGUAGAAGUAGAUAUAGGUAGUGGUGAUAAGCCUAGACCUACUUUUAUUAGUGCUAAAUUAGAUCCUGACUGUAAGCAACAAUUAACUGAUUUGUUAAAGGAAUAUAAAGAUUGCUUUGCUUGGGAUUACACCGAGAUGCCUGGUUUAGACCGAUCAAUUGUUGAACAUCGGUUACCCAUCAAGUCUGGAUUUCGGCCACAUCAGCAACCGGCUCGACGAUGUAAUCCUAACAUUCUACCUGAUAUUAAGGCCGAAAUCACCAAACUCAUUGAGGCUAAGUUUAUUCGGCAGUGUUGGUAUGCCGAAUGGAUUUCCAAUGUUGUUCCGGUUUACAAGAAAAACGGGAAGCUUCGGGUGUGCAUUGAUUUCAGGAAUCUCAAUAAAGCUACGCCGAUGGAUGGAUACCCAAUGCCUAUUGCCGAUCUGUUGGUUGAUGUUGCGGCUGGUCAUCGGGUCAUCAGCUUUAUGGACGGCAAUGCAGGAUACAAUCAAAUAUUCAUGGCAGAAGAAGAUAUUCCAAAAACCGCAUUUAGGUGUCCUGGUCAUGUUGGGUUAUUUGAAUGGAUAGUCAUGACCUUCGGGUUAAAAAAUGCUGGUGCUACUUAUCAAAGGGCCAUGAAUUUUAUAUUCCAUGAGUUCAUCGGCAAGCUGGUGGAGAUUUAUAUUGAUGAUGUGGUGGUCAAGUCUGGAGAUUUCUCAAAGCAUCUUGCCGAUUUACGAAAAGUGUUAGAGUGCACAAGGAAGCAUGGAUUGAAGAUGAAUCCCAACAAGUGUGCAUUUGGUGUAUCGGCAGGGCAGUUUCUUGGUUUCAUGGUACAUCAAAGGGGGAUUGAAAUUAGUCGAAGAUCUAUUGAUGCCAUCAAUAAGAUAGUGGCCCCCACCAACAAGACUGAGCUCCAGUCCUUGAUCGGUAAGGUAAAUUUUAUCAGGAGAUUUAUAUCCAAUCUGUCUGGUAAGAUUCGUGCUUUCAGUCCUCUUCUUAAAUUGAAAGCCGAUCAAGAAUUUAUUUGGGGAAAAGAACAGCAGUUGGCUCUGGAUGAAAUCAAGAAUUAUUUAGUAAAUCCUCCAGUUCUAGUUCCACCUCAGCAGGGAAAGCCCUUCAGAUUGUAUUUGUCUACCGAUGGGACGGUUAUCGGUUCGGCUUUGAUUCAUGAAUUUGAAGGGAAAGAGCGUGCAAUUUAUUACUUAAGCAGGAGAUUAAUUGAUGCUGAGACCAGGUAUUCGGCCAUUGAGAAAUUAUGCUUAUGCUUAUAUUUUUCGUGUAUUAAAUUGAGGCACUAUUUACUAUCGGCCGAAUGCACUGUUGUUUGCAAAGAUGAUGUGGUCCGAUACAUGCUAUCGAUGCCGAUUAUGAGUGGCAGGAUUGGUAAAUGGAUUUUAGCACUGUCAGAGUUCGAUCUGCAUUACGAAUCGGCUAAGGCAGUUAAAGGACAGGUUAUGGCCGACUUUGUGACUCAGCAUUGCGGUGUAGUGGAGGCCUUGGAAAUUGUGCCCUGGGCACUUUUCUUUGAUGGAUCUACAUGUGACCGGGGGGCAGGAAUCGGCAUUGUAUUAGUUUCCCCUAAGGGGAGGAAGUAUGAAUUUUCCUUGCCGAUUGUUGCUACAUCGACAAAUAAUCAGGCUGAGUAUCAAGCUCUGAUCAAAGGAUUGGAGUUGUUAAGAGAAAUUCGUGCUGAUGCUGUUGAAAUUUUUGGGGAUUCUAUGUUGGUUAUAAAUCAAUUGGCCGGGAGCUAUGAAUGCCGAAGUGAAGUUCUCAUAACUCAUUUCGAGAAAAGCAUGCAACUGUUGAAAGAAUUCAAAGAUUUCCGAUUAGAGCAUAUUCCUCGAUUGCAUAAUGAAGAGGCCAAUCGGUUGGCUCAGCAUGCCUCGGGGUAUCAGCCUAUGAUUAAUGCAAUAUCGGCAAUCGGUGCCGAUGAUUGGAGGAAGGAAAUUAUUGAUUAUCUAAAGGAUCCAUCCAAGAAAGUUGAAAGACGAGUUCGAUUUCAAGCAACCAAAUAUGUGCUCCUCGAAGAUGAACUGUAUUAUCGAACUAUUGAUGGAAUUCUUCUCCGAUGUUUGGGUGAUGAUGAAGCUAGGAGUUUGAUGGGAGAAAUCCAUGAAGGGGUAUGUGGAGCACAUCAGUCGGCUUUCAAAAUGAAAUGGAUGAUUAGAAGGAAUGGAUAUUUUUGGCCGACUAUACUUGAGGAUUGCUUUAAGUAUUUCAAGGGAUGUCAAGGUUGUCAAAAAUUUGGUAACAUUCAAAGAGCGCCCGCAUCGGCUAUGAAUCCUAUUAUCAAGCCUUGGCCGUUUCGGGGUUGGGCUAUCGAUCUGAUCGGCCAGAUUUAUCCACCAUCUAGUAAGGAGCAUAAAUUUAUUUUGGUUGCCACUGAUUAUUUCACUAAAUGGGUUGAAGCUAUUCCUUUGAAGAAGGUCACCUCGGCCAAUAUGAUUGAUUUUGUGAAGGAACACAUUAUUUACCGAUUUGGGAUUCCUCAGACAAUUACUACCGAUCAGGGCACUAUGUUCACAUCGGGGGAGUUUGAUGAAUUCGCAAUCGGUAUGGGGAUUAAAGUAUUGAAUUCUUCUCCUUAUUAUGCUCAAGCCAAUGGGCAGGCCGAAGCAUCUAACAAAGGGAUUAUCAAGCUUAUUAAACGAAAGAUUGAAGAAAAUCCUAAGCGGUGGCAUACAUUGUUAAAUGAAGCACUGUGGUCUUAUCGAAUGGCUUGUCAUGGAUCAACCAAGGUGUCACCCUAUCAAUUGGUGUAUGGACAUGAUGCAGUGUUGCCCUGGAAGAUUAAGGCCGGAUCCAGGCGAUUAUCUUUUCAAGAUCGGUUAACCGCCGAUAAUUAUGCUACUUUGAUGAUCGAUGAGUUGGAUGAUCUAGCAGGGCAUCGGUUAAAAGCUUUAAUGAGUAUAGAAGAAAAUAAGAAGAGAGUUGCUAGAUGGUAUGAUAAGAAAGUGAAGGCUAAGGAGUUUUUCGAUGGGGAUUUGGUGUGGAAAUUAAUUUUGCCAGUCGGGACUAAAAGUGCGAAGUUUGGAAAGUGGUCUCCUAAUUGGGAAGGUCCUUAUCGGAUAAGUCGAUCGGCUCCUGGUAAUGCCUAUAUUCUAGAAACUCUCGAAGGAGUUGAAUUUCCUAGAGCAUUAAAUUUCAAAUAUUUAAAGAAGUACUACCCCAGCAUAUGGGUCGAUGCAUAAAAGUUUAAAUGCCGAUAACACUCCUAUCGGCUGAAUUCAAAUCUUUGGGGGCUCAGUGUUUCAAAAGUUUAAGUGCCGAUAACAAUCCUAUCGGCUAGACUAAAAACUGAGGAAGCAGGAAAGCGCGGAUAUAAUGCCGGUGGAAACUCUAUGUGUUAAGCAGCGCCUGGAUUGCCGAUAUAGCGCGUAGCCGAAUUUGGUUGGCUGCUUCUAUCUCCUUGAUGUCAUCAUCGGCAGAACCUUCUAUCGGCUUCAGCUUCUUCUUCAGUUGAAGUGCCUUGCGACCAUGAGCGUUUCGCUCGUGCUCAAGAAGCCUGAUGGUCUCUGGCAAUUGGCUCUCUUCCUGUUGGGCUUGGGACAGGGCGUUCUCCACUUUCCUUGAGCUCCGCCAACAGGGAUUCUCUUCUUGCCGAUAGAUCGGAUAUCUUCUGCUUCAGUGCGUCUCCAGAAGAUCUCAGGAUACCGAUGUUCUUGUGCUUCUCAUCGGUCAAAAGCUUCUCUUUCCUCAUUUCAUCGGAGAGUUGAGUCUGAGCGGCUCUAUCGGCAAGACGCCGAGAAGCUCUCUGGUACUGCAGCUGGCGACUCUCCAGAUGAGCGGCUUGGAACAGGAUUUCUUCAACAUCAGCUGGGAUUUGGCCUCUGAGAGUUCUGAACAGGGUUUUGGUAGGGUCGGAAUCAUGAACCAAUUGCGCUGUGUCCUGGUGAAGGAGAGCUGACAAUUCUUCCAGCUUGGCCCUGAUCUCUACCGACGUAAUGCCGACUGUCUGAGAAGAACUUGCUUCUUCACCUUCUUCUUCAGAGAGAUCGAUAGCGAAGGAGAACAGGCUAUCGGGAGAAUCUUGUUCCUGGGGAGGGAAGCAAAGUUAGCUCAUAUUCGGAGAAUCGGCAAAUAAUGCUAACGGUAAAUAGUGACUUACUUGCUUCAAGGCGAUCUCUUGUCUUUGACUGAGAAGUGUUGACGGAGCUGCAGGCUGAUCGGCCAAAGAUGCCGAUGGAACUACAGGUUGAUCGGCUAAGGUUGCCGAUGGGACGAUAUCGACUGAAAGAAGACAAGAAAGGUUAUGAGACUAAAUGAGAAUAAGUUCAUCGGCAACGGUAUUGUUAAAGUAUGUUACCUGGAGGAGGAACAACGGUUGUCUGAAUCGGGAGAACCGCCGAUGAUAUAAUUGGACCCACCGGGCCAGUUGUUUGUUCACCCACGUCAGCUGAUGUACCUUCUGUUUGAGGUCCUUCCUGCUGGGGUUCUUCUAUCUGUGGUGCUUCCUGCAUAGGUUGGGGAGACGGUGCUUGCUGUGGCUGGGCUUCUGGAGAAGAAGGAGAAGACUCCACCGGAAUUGGAGACACCGGAGGAGGAGGGGGAGUUGCUACUUUCUGGCGCUUUGUUCCAGUCUUAGCACCUGUGGUGCCCUUUCUCUUUGGUUGGCUAGACUGGGGGGCAUCAGCACUUUCACGCCUGGCUUUCGCCGAUACGCCGGUUUGCUGCAAUAACGAACAAGAGUUUAUAAGCAUAAAUAUAGCCGAUAUAAAGAUAGUCAGCAUAAAGGAAAAGAUUUAACAAAUUGCCUUGAAAGCCCGCGCCAGAGUGGGAGCAGCUACCGUUGGUGAUGUCUGGGUUCUCCUGGUGGUGACUUUCCUGAGACGCACACCCCGAUGCACGAUGGAAGCCAGGGUGGGAGCAUUGUGGCCGAUGGAGGAAAUCGGGCCUGAUGGAAACAAGUCAAUCGGCUUGCCACUCCUGCUAACCGAUGGAGGGAUGUUGUCAACCUGCAAAAGGAACAUAAGGGUAAGCUACCGAUGGAAGUAAUAUUGAGAAAAUAGAGCAUCGGUAUAAGAUACUUACAGUGUCAUCGGGAACUUCAUAUUCGGAGUCGAUCAUGCCGCGGUAUGAAAGGGCCGAUCUGCAGAAUAGAUGCUCUUUCCACUCUGCACACCAUAACUUGUAUGCCUGAGUGAUAAAAGCAGCCGGAACCCAUUCUGACAGAUCUAAAUCUGUUCGGCAUUUGGUGGUAGUUGGGCCACUCGAAUCCACUCAAGAAGGUUGUUGAUGGUUUCUCUGGGUUUUAUUACAUCGGCAUAAGGAAGUGCAAUCGGCAACUGGCCGAAAGCUAACUGGCGAGCUAAUGCCGAUGGAUUGUAAAGUUCAUAAGUUUGAGGAGAGGUUUUUGUGCUGCCAAAGAAAUUCACUGGAAUGAUUCUGGGAGUCACAAUUGCCAUCAUCGCCUCAUUGUCCCUGUCGAGAGCUUCAUCAAAUGGAUUGAAGGUCAGAGGGAGCAUGCUAUCUGGGUCAUCGUAAGCCAACCAUGGUCGUUCGUCUCUGGCUAAACCCUCAUACAGAGUCUGGAAGAAUCGGCCGAUUUGAUCCGAAUUACUCCCUGAACCAGGUAGAACUAUGACAGCUUCGCCAAAGUUCAAGGGGGCACGCGUUGCCGAUUCCUCUUCACCUAACACAAGGUUUUCGGCUAUAUCUCUUGGGAAGUGCUGUGCGAACAAGUUGAAAUCAAGGCGCUUAUGCAGGUGCAGAUUGAGCCACAUAUUAAUAAACCACCAAGGGCCUCCCAAGUUGCCGAUGGACUGGCCAAGCAGGAGUUUCUGGGCUACCUGAUGGAGAAGGUGGUAAACAGCGCCAAGCAAGUAUCGGCCGAGAGGAAAUUGGCCACCGUUAGCCAGUCUCUCUGCUGCCGAUAGAUAGACAGAAGUCGGUCCUGCCGAUCGACCACAGAAUACAAACUUGUCCAGCCACAUGUUCAGAAAGGUGGUUUGUUCCUUUAUGGUGACAGAUCCUUUCCCACGGUACUUCUGAAUGUACCCUGACCAACCGCCGAUAGCGCGGGUCUCCACUUUGGCACUAGGGGCAGUAUCAAAAAAGUGGUGCUAUCGGCAGAAGAUAUAUCUAGACCAGUGAGCAUGGCUACAUCGGCAAGGGAAGGAGAAGCAGGGCCGUGACCAAAGGCAAAAGCAUUGAGGGUGUCUGACCAAAAGUAAGAUGCAGCUAUCAGCAGUGACUCGUUCCUAUGCAUAUCGGCAAUGGACAACCUAAUGCAUUGGGCUAGCUUCCUUUCGCCCCAUUGGACUUCAUAAGAAUUGCUGACCCUCAAGAACCAGUCUUUCCACCCUACGGUAUGGCUAGGCCAAGAGCGGAAGGUAUCUUUCCACAGAUCUAAAGAAAAAUUUUCAGUUCUGAAGGGGAUCCUGUUGGUUUCUGCAUUAAUAAGGUCGGUUGGAUCUGGAUCUCCUAGAGGGCCGAGACAUUGGAGGUGUGGUUGAUCAGUGGGAAUGAUAAUUUUAUUGGACAAUUCCUAGUGAUUUUGAGAAUAGAAAGAAAUACAAAGAAAAGGAAGAUAUUCAGUAAAAUGAAUUGCGAGUGAACAGGGAUAUGAAGAAAAAUACAGGAGACAGGGUGGAGAUUUGACCUCAGGGACGACGAAGCCGACAGCCAUCUUGCUGCGAAGGAAGCGUUUGAGGGCGCCGGAGUUGAUGAAGAGGAGUACUUGUCGGAGACUUUGGGAGUUUUUGAUGGCGCCGCCGCUAGAAAAGUAAAGUUGGGUAGUAGAAUGGUGUGAUGGGGAAGGAGUACCCGAGAAGGAACUAUUUAUAGUACGAAAUGGGCAAGGGCAAAUCCGACUUAUCUCUUUGCCGCAUCCGCGAAAUCCAAGGGUACUCAGGUGGAUAUGGUAAUUGUUCGCACGGUAAUCCAGGGAUUGUGCAGGUGAUUUGACAGGAAGCGGUCAUUAUCUGAAGAUAUUUUACUGUGCGAGAUCUCCUAGUCGGUCCAUCGGCAGCAUUCUAUAACGGUCAUAUUGCCGAUGGGCGGAUGGAAGGGAAGUAACCGUUUGUGCGAAUAUCCUGGUCAGAACAUCGGCAGACCUUUGUAACGGUAUUAUUGCCGAUAUACGGCUGAGAAGAAAUGCCCGUUUAAGAAGUUGGGGAUCUCAAGGGAUCUGCGGAGGAAUAGGAUCAGAGUUGUUCAGAUUGAGGUUGUCGGUUACCAGAUUAGGAGCAUUAAUUGCGGGAAAAAGGCAUCAUUACUGCAGAGAGUUUCGGAGCAUUAAUAGUUUUAUACUCUGAAACUGGGGGGCAUGUGUUGACACCGUUUUUGGGCACGUGUCUAGGAUGGCAAGGUAAGGUGGCAGUACGAUGUUUACAAGGUAAGUUGCCGAUGAGGAUGGUUGCCGAUGAGGGAGAAGUUGAACGUGACUAAGUCUACAGGCAGUGAUAUUGUGCCUAUGGCUAGAUAAGAAAGUCUGCCGAUGACUAUGGCAAAGGGUCUGCCGAUGAUGCGAAGAGGGAGUCCUGAAGCUGCCGGUCGUUGUGUGGAGGAGUUUCGGUUUGUCACGAGGGAUGGUUUUGUUAUUUCCUUAAUUAUUUACAUCGCUUUGUAUACGGAUUCCGUGUAAUUUGGAAUUCGAAUUCUAAUCGUGUCUGGUUGUAGCUCUUUGAGCAGGGUAUAAAUAUAGACCCUAGGACCUUGUAAUGAGGGAUCUAUCAAUCAAUCAAACACACGUUUUUACUCAUAUUCCAGCAUCUAUUUUUCGACGACUUCGUCAUACUUUUUCUCUUUUAUUACGAGUUCUUAGGAAUUCGUCGACUUAAGCUCGGCGUAUUCUCGAGUUCCGCGUGAGUACCUCUUAGCCGUGACAUCCGGGCGCAUCGCUGUUGUCAGGACUAAAGUAUUCGAGUUAUCACCUUUGCCGAUAGUAAGGUCAAAUCGGCUGGCACGCCUUAACGUUUGAAUCGGGUAUUAGCCCUUUGUGUUUGCAGAUCAGUUUUGCAUCAACAGUUUUAUUUGCAUAAAGCUAUCUUUUUACACAUGCAAGGUUUCAUUUCACAAAUACUGUUGUAAAAGACCUCUUUUUCCACAUAUGAUAGUAUUUCUAAAAAUGGGGGUUUGAUCAUAAUUUUAAGUGUUGUUGAACCCUUGUUCCCACAACACAAUGGCAGUCAACCAUUUAUUUCCAAAAUCACACUCACUCUCAUGUUUUCACUCAUCCCAUCUCAUCUAGUUGUUGAAACCAAACCAUAACCCGUCCGAGACCGCGGACACGGCUAUCCAGAUAGAUUUACACUCUGCAGAGGUUGUACACUUUUCCCACAAGUAGGAUACCAUAACUUACACCGUCGUGCAAGCACAGAUCCAUCAAAGUCAUUACCCUCCAUAGCUAAGUAAUGGCGCUCACCACGGGAACACUAAGGCCACAUCUCAUGAUACCACAAUAAUUCACAAAGCUCUUUUCAUAUAUUUGCACAAUUUCACAUACAUCACUUAGUGUCCUGUUGCACACCUGCCUCCAGGUGAUUGCCAUACUAACUAGAGGGAUUUAGACUAAGCCUUUCCCAUGCAAGGCGAGUGGUUGUACGAUAAAUGAGUUAGGCAAGAUGAAUCAUCAACUCAGUCCUUAAUCGAGACAAGGCGGAUAUCUUCACGCUUAACCCUGCAAGGUAUAAGCCACAACACCAGGGCAUCUCCAAAAGAGAUCCCAUCCGCCCCAUCUCUAUAGUAAUCACAUCUAUAACUUGUUCAUUAACCCUUUCACAAUACCCACAAUUUAUUUUCACCACUCACACCUUUUUCUUUUAAAAUCAUUAUAUUUGAUAAAAUAUAGCGAUGAGUAUCCAGGAUGAGUAACAAGUCCUAAGCAUACUAAAUAAUAAUAUUUCUGUCAUAGCAUAUUAUUUGUUCCUAGGUUCGAACAAGACAAUUAUCGGGUAAUAUCAAUUCAAGGAUGGCUAUUCAACAGGUUUUAACUAAGCAGCGAAAAUACUUCGUACAUAUAUCGUACAUGCAAUAUUUAAAACGGCUUCUACGGGUAGUGUUUAAAAAUAGGAUCAAUAUGCAUCAAAGGGGAUCGGUUGGACUUGCCUCCGUCGGCGUCCUCGGCAAACUCCUGCUGACAGUCCGGGUCCUCGGCGUCAAACUUGCGGUACUCGUCUCCAACGUUCUCGUUUUCCGGCUCGUUCACUCCGUCAACUAAAAUACGCGACGAACGACACAGACAUCAGGCACAGAUAAAUAAUCAUAUAAAUUCAAAUGAGCUCCAAAAAUCAUGAAAUUAAUAUGGGAGGUAGGUCAUGAUUUUAGAUGAAUUUAGGAAAAAGAAUUAUUAAAAUCAUAGUUAGCAUGUGGCAUUUGUGAAAUGGCCGGACUUUAAUCAUGCGAAAAAGGCUAACGAUGAUUAAGAAAUACAUGCUUCACGAGAUAAAUUUUGGCUGGUAGUGCAUGUUGCAUGCAUGCAUGUACUAUUUGAAGUUAAUGCUUAUGGCCCACACAUGCAUGGUUAGAGAGAAAUUAGCAGGGGUCCUUAGAGCUCUUCUGUAUGUCAUGGUUCUAUUCGUAGAGUUCUUGGCAAUGAAUCGGUACAGACAAAUACAAGGAAAAAUACAGAAAAAUACUACAGAAAGACAGAGAAGAGCAAGGAGAUGCUCAUGAGCUGCUCACCUCGUCUUGCGACGACAGUCGAGCUCGGCUUGUGCAUAUGGCCGUAUACGGUAUACGCGAAGUGAGAGCGAGUGAGCGAGUGAGUGAACGUGUUUCUCGGGUGGUGAGAGUGAGCACCCGAGGCUGGCUUUUUAUAGGCCAAAGCGCUCAGCUGCGUGCCAUUAAAAAUGCUACUGUAGCGCAUGGUCGGUGCCUAAUUUCAUGCGAAGGACGAUGUCCCAUUUGCAUGCACGUUGCAUGCAAAUGGACGGUGCCUAAUCACCGUGUCCUUGCAUGCAGGUGCAUGCAAAUGGUCGGUGGCAUGUUCGUCCUGCAUGCAUGCAUGAGAUAUAUAUUCGUGUAGGUGCACUGCUAUAUUUUCUCGCAUGUAAGCUUGCUGGUACAUGCUAUUAUUUGUGCGCAAAAAAAUAUAAAUGGUGCCUAGUUGUACGUUGCGACUUGCUAUCUUUUUGUACAGCAAAAGAGGCGUGGGAAAAGGCAAGAGGUGGGGCCCGCAUGCCGCGGUGCGCGCGCGAGCGAGUGCGCUCGGCGAGGGGGCCGGGCGUGAGUGCGCUGCGGCGCUGAUGGUGGUGGGGUCGGCGCACGCGCCGUUGCCGGGUAUCGGGCAGAGCGAGCGAGCAAGAGGGAUAAGUAGCGGACAUAUGAUGCUCAUGCCAUGCGGUGCAGGUUAUAUUUAAAGAUGGAUAAUUAGAAUGGAUGGAAAAAGAAUUAGAUGGAGAUACUAUAGAGCUCAAAUGAUUUAUAGUUUUUGAAAUAUAUUUUGAAAAUAAUUUUUUUAAUGCGAGUGAUUUUUGAAUGUGAAUUUUUGGGAUGUUACAAACCUACCCACUUAAAAGGAUCUCGUCCUCGAGAUUCGGCUGGGUCCUAAAUAGAUGGGGAAACUCUUUUCUCAGGGCAUCUUCUCUUUCCCAUGUUGCUUCUGCUUCAGUGUGUCUACUCCACUGAACACGGCAAAUUCGGACCGUCGUCGUUCGAGUUUGCUUGGUGACUGUAUCUAGGAUUUUUAUUGGCACUUCUUGAUAUCUUAGGUCAUCUUGUAAAUCAACUGUAUCUGGCGAUAUUUGUUCCUCUGGUACUCUGAGACAUUUCUUCAAUUGGGAGACAUGAAACACAUUGUGUAUAUCUGACAUUUCUUCAGGUAGCCGAAUACGAUAGGCUACAGCACCAAUCCUCUGUAAUACUUGAUAUGGUCCAAUGUACCGAGGUGCUAGCUUGCCUCUAACUUGGAACCUUCGAGUUCCUCGAAUAGGAGAGACUUUGACAUACACAAAAUCUCUAACUGCAAAACUUAACUCUCUCCUUCUUUUAUCAGAAUAGCUCUUUUGACGUGAUUGUGCCUCUUUCAAUUUUUCUCUGAUUUCAGCUACACGAUCUUCUGCUUCUUUUAUAAGGGCUGGUCCAAGCAAGGUUCGUUCUCCAACUUCUGACCACAUCAAUGGGGUUCUACAUUUUCUUCCAUAUAGAGCCUCAAAAGGUGACAUGCCCAAACUAGCUUGGUAACUAUUAUUAUAGGAGAACUCUACAUAAGUUAGGCUUUUCUCCCAAUCUUUACCAUAUGUGAGCACACAUGCUCUUAGCAUAUCUUCCAUAAUCUGAUUUAUUCUUUCAGUCUGACCAUCUGUUUGAGGAUGAUAAGCUGAGCUAAAAUCUAGCUUGGUUCCCAUAGCUUCAUGCAAACUUUUCCAGAACUUAGAGGUAAAUUGGGUACCUCGGUCAGAUACAAUCCUACUUGGCACACCAUACAAUUUGACUAUGUUAUCCACAUAUAACUGGGCUAACUUGUCUCCACUAUAUUUGGUGCGCACAGGUAUGAAGUGAGAAACCUUGGUAAGGCGGUCCACUAUUACCCAUAUUGAAUCAUUUCCUUUCAGAGUUUUGGGUAAUCCAUUCACAAAAUCCAUGCCUAUCUCAUCCCAUUUCCAAACAGGAAUAGGCAAUGGCUGGAGCAAGCCUGCUGGUUUCUGAUGCUCCGCUUUAACCCUUUGGCAAACAUCACAUUGUGCAACAAAUCGUGCCACAUCAGCUUUCAUGCCAUUCCACCAAUAUCUUUCUUUUAGGUCCAUGUACAUCUUGGUGGCACCAGGGUGGAUAGAAUAAGCUGAGUUAUGGGCUUCAUCAAGGAUUAAUUCUUGAAACUUUCCCUCCUUGGGCACACAAAUCCUGUUUUUAUACCACAAUACUCCUUUGUUAUCCACUCUAAAGUAUGGAGCUUUAUUUUCUCCAGUUUGCUCACGAAUCUUCAUCAGAUCCUUAUCCUUAUGUUGCAUCUGUUUGAUUUCUUCCACAAGAGUUGGCUGCAUCAUCAGACUGCCAUUUUGAGGUUGACGUACUAUAUGCAUGUUCAACUGUGCUAUCUCUUCUUGUAGGUGAGUGUUCUUAGGCACCAACUGCUGACCAUAUGACCUUCUGCUUAGGGCAUCUGCUACCACGUUGGCCUUUCCUGGGUGGUAAUGAAUCUCAAGGUUGUAGUCCUUGAUUAAUUCCAACCAUCUUCUUUGCCUUAGGUUCAAGUCUGACUGUGUGAAGAUGUACUUCAAACUCUUGUGAUCAGUGUAGAUUUCACACUUGUUUCCAAUGAGGUAGUGUCUCCAAAUCUUGAGAGCAUGCACUAUAGCUGCUAACUCCAAAUCAUGGGUAGGGUAAUUUUGCUCAUGAGGUCUAAGCUGACGGGAUGCAUAAGCAACCACUUUUCCUCCUUGCAUGAGAACACAUCCUAAACCUUGUCUUGAGGCAUCACAGUAUAUGAUGAAAUCUUGGUGAAUGUCUGGCAAAGUUAACACUGGUGCUGUUGUCAGUCUCUUCUUCAACUCUUGGAAACUCUUCUCACAUGAUUCUAUCCAAGUGAAUUUCUUGUCCUUCCUAAGAAGCUCUGUCAUGGGUCUGGCUAUCUUGGAAAAUCCUUCUAUAAACCUUCGAUAAUAUCCAGCUAAUCCAAGAAAACUUCUAACCUCACUCAUAUUGGUGGGUUGCUGCCAAUGGGAGACAGCUUCUACUUUCUCAGGGUCAACUGCAACUCCUUCAGCUGUCAAGAUGUGGCCUAGAAAUGCAACCUUCUCAAGCCAAAAUUCACACUUGCUGAAUUUAGCAUACAACUUGUAUCCUCUUAGCUUUUCCAACACUACUCUCAAGUGUUGCCCAUGUUCUUCAGCACUCUUAGAGUAGAUAAGUAUGUCAUCAAUGAAGACUACAAGAAACUUAUCUAACUCUUCCAUGAAUACCUUAUUCAUGAGGUUCAUGAAAUAGGCAGGGGCAUUGGUUAAUCCAAAGGACAUCACUGUAAACUCAUAUUGUCCAUAUCUGGUUACAAAUGCUGUCUUGGGAACAUCACUAUUCUUGAUCUUGAGCUGGUGAUAACCUGAUCUCAAAUCAAUCUUAGAGAAAUACUUGGCUCCUUUAAGCUGAUCAAAAAGGUCAUCUAUCCUUGGCAGGGGAUACUUAUUCUUGAUGGUGACUUCAUUUAGGGACCUAUAAUCUACACACAUCCUCAUACUUCCAUCUUUCUUCUUCACAAACAAGACUGGGGCUCCCCAUGGUGAAGAACUAGGUCUAAUAUAACCUUUCUACUGCAAUUCUCUUAGCUGCUCUUUCAGUUCAGCUAACUUUGCUCGAGCCAUUCUGUAAGGUCUCUUGGCUAUGGGGGCAGUCCUAGGGAUAAGAUCAAUGAUGAACUCUAUAUCCCUAUCUGGUGGCAUUCCAGGUAGUUCCUCAGGGAAUACAUCAGGGUAUUCUUGCACUAUUGGUACUUCCUCUAUGGUCCUUGCAUCCAGGUUGAAGACCAUUGGAUUAACUUUAGACCCUCGGGUUUGGCAUUAUACUUUAAUCCCUUCAUGGUUAACUAAUGAUACUUCCUUGGUUGCACAACUAAUAAUUCCAUUGUGUCUGGUUAACCAAUCCAUUCCAAGGAUAACAUCUAUUCCUUUGGACUUGAGCACUACUAAGUCUCCUAAGAAAACUACCCCACUUAGAAUGAUCCUUACAUUUGAACAACCUAGAUGACAUUUGAUGUCAGACCCAGGUGUUGGGGUUAUUAGGGGUAACUUUAGUAGUACUGUGGGUAUUUGAUGCUUCUCAACAAAACUUGAUGAUAUGAAUGAAUGUGAUGCUCCAGAAUCAAAUAAUACUGUUGCAAGUACUGAAUCGACUAAGAACUCACCAAGUACCACUCCUGAAGCAGUCUAAGCAUCUUGAGCAUGAAUAUGGUUGACACGGGCUCUACCAUAGGAUUGUUGAGGUUGCUUCAUCAUCUGGCUAUUAUUGUUGGUGUUGCUAUUGUUGCGAGGGAAACCACGGUUGACUCCACACACUGUAGGUCUUGGUCCAUUAACGGUGUGGGACUGAGUGGACACUGCUGGUGGGUUGUUCUUGUAGGGACAGUUGGCGAUGUAGUGUCCAGUCUCAUGGCAAUUAAAGCAAGUCCUAACAUUGUUUGUGACUUGACCAGUGCUGUUCUGUUGAGUCUUGCCAUAAGCUUGAUUCUGAUAGGUUGUCUUAGGCUGAUAUGAUGACUGCAUUUGGUUAUUGGAGACACUAGGAGGAGAGCGAAACUGCAUUGGGGCUUGAGUCCGCUGGCUUGGUUGGCUAAAGGUUUUCAGCCUCAGGGAUCUAGCACCAUCCUGAACCUUGCGCUCUAGAAACUUACGCUUGUUUUCUUUCCUUUCUUCAGUCUUGGCCACAUCAGUCAGAAUGGUCCUAUUCAUCAAAGUGUUGAAGUCUGGAUAGAUCUGUGGGGUCAUGAGGGUUUUGAGCUCACAGGUCAAUCCUUCUAUGAACUUUGUCUGUUUCUUGGCAUCAGUGUUGACCAAUUCUGGGGCAUAGCGAGACAACUCAGUGAAUUGAAAGAUGUAUUCACUCAGAGUUUUAUUUCCUUGCUUCAAGUUGUGAAAUUCAUCAGCCUUCAGCUUCAUGAUCCCAUCGGGAAUGUGGUACCGGCGGAAUUCGUCCACAAAUUCUUCCCAUGUGAUCGUGUUGGCAUUGUCCACAGCUCCACUAUAGGCUUCCCACCAAGAAAGGGCAAUUCCUGUCAGCUGAUGAGAUGCUAGCAGAACUCUAUCCCUUCCAUCGCAGUGGAUUGUGUCCAACUUCCUUUCAAUCACCUUAAGCCAAUCAUCUGUUUCCAUUGGGUUGUCAGAUCCAGUAAAGGUGGGUGGCUUAAGCCUCAUGAACUCAGUCAUCUUGUCUUGGACUCCGGCUCCACGGUUGUUCCUAGGGCGGUUCAUGCCUUGAGCCAAGGUCUCCAGAAGGCGAGUCUGAGUUGCCAUGACUUGUGCUAAGUCAAUUGCUGGAGGAGGGGGCAAGUCAUCUCCUUCAUUAUGGUUCCUAGUCUGACUCACUUCAUCUUCAUGAAUACCAUCAACAUUUGCAUUGGCUUGACUUCCAUUUGGAUUUUGGCUUUGUCUAAUAGAUGCACGACCACUUGGUUGAGAGCGGGUAGCUGGUUUGGGAGGCAUCUGUUGGUUAAGAUGAGAAAGCAUUAGAUAAGGGUUAGAUCUAUUGAGUGAUGUUGUUUUUUUGUUAAGGCGUUAUAUUUUAAAAAGGUGCAAGUUUUAAGACUUGCUAUCCCGUAAGGGAACAACAUAGAGCACUCAAUUAUUUAGCACAACCAACAAGCACAAAUAUAUAUUUUGAACAAGAGGGCGGUUUACAACAUAGUAAUGGAGGAAAUAAGCGUACUACAAUACGGUUCAUCUACUUUGGGGGUUGAACAAAAGUGAAGUAAACUUCACUUCCCCAAGACAUAAGGAGGAACUAGGUGCUACUAUUCUUCAACUUCUUCGGACAGAACAGCUUCAUUCUCUUGGUGUUGAGGAGGGUCAUGCUUCCGGCAUUUGUGGUUCUUCUUUUGGACUAAGAGGUGGGUCACUGUCUUCUUUUGGUGCUGGCUGGGUGAGGAGGGGAAAUCCUUCUUCCUUACUAGGCUCCAACUCUAAAGCUUCAUGAGAGGCUUCUGUGGGUGGGGGAGCUGAUGGCCCUUCUAUGUCCAUCUUUCUUUUGGUUUUUAGGGACAUGAUUGGGAUACCUUUUAGGACUAUGGGCUCUUGGUCUUCCUCUACUAACAUCCUUCUUUUGAUCCUGGUGAUAAGGUAGGCAUCCUUCAACUCCUGAGCAUGGCGGUCUUCAGCUGCCUUCAAGACUUUAGCAAUGGCAGUUUCACGACUCUCGGCUGCAGCUGCUUGGGCCUGAGCUUCUGCGAGCUGCACAUGGAGCUUUCUAACUAUGAUCUCGGCUUCCUCCGCACGAUGGAUGCACUUCCUUAACUCUGAGGCCUGCUCAUCAUAUUGCUUAUCUAGAGCAAGUAGGUAUGUGGUCAUGAAUACCACAGUUGGGUCAUCUUCAAGUGAGUAACGUCCUUGCAAGAGCUCCAUGCGGGUCCUCCAAACUGGUCGGUCUUUUUCGUCGGGUGGAAAGAACCUCAUGGGUGUACGGGUGAUGGGCUUUUCGUAGAUCUGGCAUAGGUACCUCAAGGCUUUACGGGCGAUGGCUUGAUAUGUAUCUGCAAACCGAAAUCCGGUCGCAGUCAUACUCCAAGCUUCAGCUAUGUUAGGGAAGUCCUCACUUUUCCCAAUAUAGACAGUAACUUCACACCGCUUGGUCUCAUGCUCUUCAUAUUCUCUACCUUCAUAUUCUGGGCGAUCCUUGAUUCCAAGUUUCUGCAUGGUAGCAUACAAGAGCUUGGGAAAGCCUUCUACGCUUAGACAGUAACUGCUGGUCCAAACUCCUUCUGGCAUCUGAGAGAUAUAGAUGAGAGUAAAUUUUUUUUUUCAAAUAGAGGGAAGAGGGUAAGAACUUUUGUAAAAUAUGUUUCUUUAGUAAAAUACUGGUCCAGAAAAGCCUAAGGUCGCGUCCUACAGCCAACUACGGCUCUGAUACCACCUGAAGCGCCCCUGAUAAACCAGGAACUCAAAUGUGAUACAAUACUAGUCCCAAGAGGCUAGUAACACAUUUAUUACAUCAGAUAAGUUUCAGCGCAGUAGUCUUGGAAAGCGUGGACAAGGAAGGCACGCUAUAAUAAUAAGACACCAAAAUACAACACACGUCCAAAGGACUCAGAAACAAACGAUAUCGCCAUCGAACAUCUGACGAGUCCCAAUGCCACAGGCUUAGUUGGGUGCAGACACGACCUUACUCGAACGUCACUUCGGGAUCGAAGUCCGAAUCUUCCUCUGUUUAAUAAAGCAAGGGUGAGUACAAAGUACUCAGCAAAUCCAACCUUACCCUACGGAAGGGGAUAACAGUAUAUAUGCAUAUGGAUAAAUCAAGGAUGAGGCUUAGUUUUAUUUGCAUAAAGCUAUCUUUUUACACAUGCAAGGUUUCAUUUCACAAAUACUGUUGUAAAAGACCUCUUUUUCCACAUAUGAUAGUAUUUCUGAAAAUGGGGGUUUGAUCACAAUUUUAAGUGUUGUUGAACCCUUGUUCCCACAACACAAUGGCAGUCAACCAUUUAUUUCCAAAAUCACACUCACUCUCAUGUUUUCACUCAUCCCAUCUCAUCUAGUUGUUGAAACCAAACCAUAACCCGUCCGAGACCGCGGACACGGCUAUCCAGAUAGAUUUACACUCUGCAGAGGUUGUACACUUUUCCCACAAGUAGGAUACCAUAACUUACACCGUCGUGCAAGCACAGAUCCAUCAAAGUCAUUACCCUCCAUAGCUAAGUAAUGGCGCUCACCACGGGAACACUAAGGCCACAUCUCAUGAUACCACAAUAAUUCACAAAGCUCUUUUCAUAUAUUUCCACAAUUUCACAUACAUCACUUAGUGUCCCGUUGCACACCUGCCUCCAGGUGAUUGCCAUACUAACUAGAGGGAUUUAGACUAAGCCUUUCCCAUGCAAGGCGAGUGGUUGUACGAUAAAUGAGUUAGGCAAGAUGAAUCAUCAACUCAGUCCUUAAUCAAGACAAGGCGGAUAUCUUCACGCUUAACCCUGUAAGGUAUAAGCCACAACACCAGGGCAUCUCCAAAAGAGAUCCCAUCCGCCCCAUCUCUAUAGUAAUCACAUCUAUAACUUGUUCAUUAACCCUUUCACAAUACCCACAAUUUAUUUUCACCACUCACACCUUUUUCUUUUAAAAUCAUUAUAUUUGAUAAAAUAUAGCGAUGAGUAUCCAGGAUGAGUAACAAGUCCUAAGCAUACUAAAUAAUAAUAUUUCUGUCAUAGCAUAUUAUUUGUUCCUAGGUUCGAACAAGACAAUUAUCGGGUAAUAUCAAUUCAAGGAUGGCUAUUCAACAGGUUUUAACUAAGCAGCGAAAAUACUUCGUACAUAUAUCGUACAUGCAAUAUUUAAAACGGCUUCUACGGGUAGUGUUUAAAAAUAGGAUCAAUAUGCAUCAAAGGGGAUCGGUUAGACUUGCCUCCGUCGGCAUCCUCGGCAAACUCCUGCUGACAGUCCGGGUCCUCGGCGUCAAACUCGCGGUACUCGUCUCCAACGUUCUCGUUUUCCGUCUCGUUCACUCCGUCAACUAAAAUACGCGACGAACGACACAGACAACAGGCACAGAUAAAUAAUCAUAUAAAUCCAAAUAAGCUCCAAAAAUCAUGAAAUUAAUAUGGGAGGUAGGUCAUGAUUUUAGAUGAAUUUAGGAAAAAGAAUUAUUAAAAUCAUAGUUAGCAUGUGGCAUUUGUGAAAUGGCCGGACUUUAACCAUGCGAAAAAGGCUAACGAUGAUUAAGAAAUACAUGCUUCACGAGAUGAAUUUUGGCUGGUAGUGCAUGUUGCAUGCAUGCAUGUACUAUUUGGAGUUAAUGCUUAUGGCCCACACAUGCAUGGUUAGAGAGAAAUUAGCAGGGGUCCUUAAAGCUCUUCUGUAUGUCAUGGUUCUAUUCGUAGAGUUCUUGGCAGUGAAUCGGUACAGACAAAUACAAGGAAAAAUACAGAAAAAUACUACAGAAAGACAGAGAAGAGUAAGGAGAUGCUCAUGAGCUGCUCACCUCGUCUUGUGCGUAUGGCCGUAUACGGUAUACGCGAAGUGAGAGCGAGUGAGCGAGUGAGUGAAUGUGUUUCUCGGGUGGUGAGAGUGAGCACCCGAGGCUGGCUUUUUAUAGGCCAAAGCGCUCAGCUGCGUGCCAUUAAAAAUGCUACUGUAGCGCAUGGUCGGUGCCUAAUUUCAUGCGAAGGACGAUGUCCUAUUUGCAUGCACGUUGCAUGCAAAUGGACGGUGCCUAAUCACCGUGUCCUUGCAUGCUGGUGCAUGCAAAUGGUCGGUGGCAUGUUCGUCCUGCAUGCAUGCAUGAGAUAUAUAUUCGUGUAGGUGCACUGCUAUGUUUUCUCGCAUGUAAGCUUGUUGGUACUUGCUAUUAUUUGUGCGCAAAAAAAAUAUAAAUGGUGCCUAGUUGUACGUUGCGACUUGCUAUCUUUUUGUACAGCAAAAGAGGCGUGGGAAAAGGCAAGAGGUGGGGCCCGCAUGCCGCGGUGCGUGCGCGAGCGAGUGCGCUCGGCGAGGGGGCCGGGCGUGAGUGCGCUGCGGCGCUGAUGGUGGUGGGGUCGGCGCACGCGCCGUUGCCGGGUAUCGGGCAGAGCGAGCGAGCAAGAGGGAUAAGUAGCGGACAUAUGAUGCUCAUGCCAUGCGGUGCAGGUUGUAUUUAAAGAUGGAUAAUUAGAAUGGAUGGAAAAAGAAUUAGAUGGAGAUACUAUAGAGCUCAAAUGAUUUAUAGUUUUUGAAAUAUAUUUUGAAAAUAAUUUUUUUUAAUGCGAGUGAUUUUUGAAUGUGAAUUUUUGGGAUGUUACAAUAUGCUAGUGUCUCGGUGGAUAGAGUUGUCAAAGGCUUCGGUAAUGUGCAGAUUGAGAUAGAAGGAGGUGAUGGAGAGAAGACUCUAGGAGAAGCAGAGAAGACUUUUAUUUGUUGGCGCAAGCGCUACAUCAUUAUUCCUAGGGCAUCACCUAGUAGUCUACCACCACCUCCUCGUCAUUGUUGACGGUCCUUAAGUAUCAAAUUUAAUUAUCAAAUAAACAAAGAAAAGGAUCCAAAUGCAAUCAACAUCCAGACUUAGGGUUUUAUCUGACAGAAUUCCACGAGUUUUGGUGUUUAUCUAUUUCAAAAGAGCAAGGAAGGUAUAUAUCCCCUCAAAAGAGCAAAAGUAGAAUUAGACUUUCACCAUUAUUAUCACCAUCAUCACCAUAUACCAUUCAUUCGCCACACAUACACAUCUUGAUUUGACUUAUUGACUUGUUACUUUGGAUCCAUGGUUUGACUAUACAAUAAAUGUCUUGUGAGUAUGUAUACUUUAUCUCCCACCUAUGAGCUCUAGAUAUUAAAGCCUUAUUAGAGUAGGGUGAGAGAGAAGGCAAUGUCACUAUGCCUUAUACCAAAAAUACUACAUACUUUGAGAGAGAAGGCAUAUACCAUCACUGCCUUGGUAAGGAUCCAGAAAUACCACAAAAGAGAGAUCUGAGAGAGUCAUACAAGGAAUCUCUAAGUUUUAUUUGAAAAUCUGCAAAAACUCCAGAGCUAUAGCUGAUCAAAGAUAAGAGACAUGGCACUCGACUAGACCGUUCUAUCUUUUAACUGCUCAAGACGGAAGUGACGGUUACAAGUCCCAUGGUGAAAGGUAAAAUGAAUAAGUUUUAAGUCUUGACAAUUUACUCUAACUCAGAGAUGAGAUCUUAUUUAAAAGCAUGUGUACCAUCAAUUUUUAAAGGCAUUACAACAACUUCAUAUCCAUCGCUGAGAUUAUCCUUGCUCAGGGACGAGCAAGAGGUAAGCUUGGGGGAGUUUCUUGACCGUCCUUAAGUAUCAAAUUUAAUUAUCAAAUAAACAAAGAAAAGGAUCCAAAUGCAAUCAACAUCCAGACUUGGAGUUUUAUCUAAUAGAAUUCCACGAGUUUUGGGGUUUGUCUAUUUCUGCAGGGGGUUAUCAAGAAAUACGGAAGAAAGGCCCACACGUCGGGAUUACAUAGAGAUAUUAACGUGCCGCGCAAUUAUCUUACAUCUAGAAGACUCCAGAAGCCACGGGAACGAAGCGGAGGCAGAAUGGGGCCUGGCCGAGGGCGCCCGCCCCCCUUUGGUGUCCAAUCAGGACCCGUCUCGCGGAUUACGCUCCACCAACCUAAAGGAUCAAGGAUAACCGUUCAAUCAAUGUCGGUUUGAUCCGACGACCCAUAUUCACUUGGAAGGACUAUAUAACCAGACCCCGUGGCCCCUAGAGGAGAGCACCUCUCAACCCUAAUUCAUUAUUCAUGAGGGAGAAGAAGCCUCUGAUCAAGCCCUAGAGCAACCACAUCAAUUAGAUCUCUAGAUUAGCAUAGCUACAUAGGAUUAGAACUAGAAGGAGUCAAUCUUCGAUUGGUUUCUGGAUCUAUCAAGAGGAUUCUUGGUAAUUCUCUAUUGUUCUUCAAUUGUUCAUCUUUGUUCUUCGAUAUUAUGAAUAUGACUUUGUUCUACUUCAAUAUAUUGGUUAUGACUUUGCUCUACUUGUUUAUAUUUGCAAUUAUAUUGUUCUUAGUUUAUCAUAGUUAUAUACUUGGCUUAGUUAGAUUGGAAUUAUAUACAUGUUUAGGAUCGUAUAGCGUUUAUCCAUUAGAUCUAUGGGUAAAUGAUAGAUAUUGUGUAGGCGUGGUGCUUAUACCAUAUUUAUCUGCGAUUGUACCCUAUAUGCCAGAUCGCGGGGUAGUUCGUGGUAGUGACAGCUCCAUUGAUUCUUAUAUAGUCCCCCUCUCGUGUAUAGGGCUGGCAGAGCAACAUUAUUACAGGGGAGUGAUUGCGAUGUUUCUCAUAUUCCUUGAUAAUAUCACUAUGCAUGGGUGCAGUCCUGUCUCGCAAUGAUUGCUAAGUAUAAUUGCACUAACUAUGAUAUGCUAGACUGUAUAGUUAAGAAUAACUUAGGAAAUAUUCUUGUAGUUCGUCCUAAUACCAUGCUAAUGACUUGCUAGAAUAUCUAAUUGAGGUGCUUAUCAUAUUUAUUAUGUGGCUAAGUUAUGCUGAUCAGAUUAAUUAUCUUUGUCACUAUUCAUUACUUUAUAUAUCCUUUAUGUGACACUUAUCCCUAUAUGAAAGAGUUAGAUAAAUGUUCUCAAUUAUACAUGCAAUGAUAGAUACUCAAUCUUAUAUUCCAUUCUAUAAUCAACAUUGAUGUUUAGCAAUCCCUUUCCAGUGGUAAAAAUAUAAAUAACAAUACCUGGAAUACUUCCCGGUUAGAAUGCUACAUCGGUAUUAAUCUGUGCGCUUGCAGAUCUCAUUUAUUAUUUAUUUAGAAGAGCAAUUGCAUAUUUCAAUACCGCGUCUCUUAUGUCAUGCUGGGGAUGACAACUUGGCUUAAGUGGCAUGAGGGAUAGGUUUGACAUUUUUGGCGCCGUUAUCAGAAUUAGAAAACUAAGUCUACUUUUGGUAGUGACGUUAAGAAUGCCCAACAGUCAUGAAUCUAAUCCUAGGUGUGGAUAAAAAUUGACUAUACAUUUGUUCACUAAAUUUAUUUUGCAUUCUCUUAGUUAGCGGUUUACUCAUAUACCUUUUGGUUUCACAGGUGGUCACCAACAUGUCAUAGUGGUGCGGGUGAUGACGAGGGAGUGCAAGACACGGCUGCAUCGCCUCGGUCUCCAAUGCCACCACCUCAGGCUCCAACGCCACCACCUAGGGCUCCAACACCACCACCUCGGGCUCCAACACCGCCACCUCAGGCUCCAACACCGCCACCUAGGGCUCCAACGCCACCUCCUCGGGCUCCAACACCGCCACCGGCCGCCCCAUUGCCCCCACACGUGGCUCCAGCACGAAAGAAGUGGCCGGCCACACAAUCAAAUGUGUCGGCCGCCCCGCCACCAAAAAAGAAAGCCUCCGAAAAGAAACAAGCUAUCAUUCCUAAGAAGCUGUCCUAUGAGAAGACUGAUGCAGAACUAAAUGCUUCAGUAAAAUCAGACGUGGAUAGUUUCUUCAAGAAACUUAAGACUGAAAGAGAAGCCAAGCGAAACGCUGAGAAGCCAUACCUCUUACUACGGCCAGAAGAUCUACGACAAAGGGUUGAGGCUGAACAAAAAAAGAGACGUAAAGCUCAGAAAGAAUCAUCAUCUUUAUCAGACUAUGAUCGCACUUUAAGGAAAUCCAUAGAAGAAGAGAAUAAGAAAGAGAAAAGAGCACACAUGGGUGUAGCACAGCUCGGGGAACAAUCAAAGCAAUCAGUGCCCCCGCUAGUCAUUGGAAAUGAAUAUGGUUCAAACAUUGACGUGCUAUACCAACAGAUACCGACAGAUUUAAAAUUUGAUGAGCUUGAAAUUUUUUUGCGGAAACUGGUCUUAGCUUAGCCCAAAUGAUAGCGGGGGCACCAAUUGAAAGUGCUCCACAAAUUGAUCAUUGGCAGAAGGAAUAUACAUAUGGCAAGUGUUUAUACAACCCUACGGCCCUCAGCAAGCUUGGAACGCAAAUGUACAUGCUAAACAAAUGGUACAUGGCAGCGUGUGUCAGAAAAGCAGAUGACUAUCUUUGUGUCCGAAUUAGAAACUAUCAUUACUUCUGUGGUGAUGAUAUUAUUUAUGUUCAAUUUAAUGAGCUACACCAACUACGCCACAUGGACGCUCUUGACAAAUCUCUAAUGAGUUGCUUCUGUCUGUAAGUGAUUCUUCCUUUCAAUAAUGUCUCUGUAACUUAUCAUGUAUAUAUAUAACUAAUUACAGAAACCCGCUAUACAAAUGCAGAAACAUGAUGAGGGACCUCAGAGUUAGAAAUGACAAGGAGAUUGGAUUUGUGGAUCCAAAUGCUGUAUUCAAAGACCACAAGACCCCGUAUGUCUUAUGGAGAACUCAAACGGAGAGAAAUCUACGGAGGUUCUUGAUCAACCAAAAAGAUAAAAGAUAUAUACUCUUUCCCUACAACUUUAAGUAAGUGUCGUUAUCGUGUGUACAUUCUAUUUAACUAAUUAAUCAGAUCAAAAUGAAGAUAUAUACUAAUUUUGCCUACAUAUGCACACAAAUGCAGCUUUCAUUGGAUACUAAUUGUCAUUGAUCUCUGGUAAUGUCAAUUGGUGUUGAUGCAAAACAGAUCUACAAACACAAAGGGCUAAUACCCGAUUCAAACGUUAAGGCGUGCCAGCCGAUUUGACCUUACUAUCGGCAAAGGUGAUAACUCGACCACUUUGGUCCCGACAACAGCGAUGCGCCUGGAUGUCACGACCAAGAGGUGAUCACGCAGAACUUGAGAACACGCCAAGCUUAAGUCGAUGAAUUCCUAAGAACUCGUAGUAAAAAGGAAAAAUAUGACGAAGUCGUCGAAAAAGUAGAUGCUGGAGUAUGAGUAAAAACUUAUGUUUGAUUGAUUGAUAGAUAUCCAUUACAAGGCCCUAGGGUCUACAUUUAUACCCUGCUCAAAGAGCUACAAUCAGACACGACUAGGACUCGAAUUCCAAACUAAACAGAUUCCGUAUACAAAACAAAUUUAAAUAACUAAGGAAAACACAAAACUACUCCCUUGUAACCAGCCGGGACACUGCCUCAGAUCAAUCAGCAAUCUCCACCCUUUCCUUCAGAGUCAUCGGCAAACCUCCUUUCAUAGCCAUCGGCAAACACCAAUACUGAUUAUCGGCAUGAUCACGUCACCACCUUCUGGACUUAAUCACAUUCAAUUGCCUCUUCAUCGGAAACAACCUCCAUCGGCAACAUCCCUGCAGAUUAGUUACCGUUGCUCUAUCUACGGAUCUGUACUCUACUGAUCUCCAGGUACGUGUCUAAAAAUGGUGUCAACACAUGCCCCCCAGUUUUGGAGUAUAAAAUCAUUAAUGCUCCGAAAUUCUCUGCAGUAAUGACGUCUUUCCGCAAUUAACUCUCCCGAUUUGGCAACCGACCGUUAAAGCCGAACAACCCUGGCCCAAUUUUCCUGCAGAUUCCUCGAAUUCCUCAACCUCCCAACCUGGACAUCCCCACUUUAUUCGCCCAUCGGCAACAUUAUCGUUAGAAAGAGCUGCCGAUGGACCGACCAGGAGAUCUUGCACAGUGAAAUAUCUCCAAAAUCACGACCGCUUGCUGUCAAAUCACCUGUGCAAUCCCUUGAUUCUCGUGCGAACAGUUACCAUAUCCACCUGAACACCCUCGGAUUUCACGGAUGUGGCAAAGAGAUAAGUCAAAUUUGCCCCUGCCCGUUUUGUCCUAUAAAUACUUCCUUCUCGGGUACUCCUUCUCCACCUUGUCAUUCCUCAGCCAAAAAUCUACCUUCCUUGGCGGCGGCAUCACCCAAAGACUCCGAGGACUUCAACAAAGGCCUUUCUUCACCAACUCCCAAAUCUUCGAUCUUCUUCCCUGUGAGGAGAUGGCCAUCAACUUUGUCGUUCCCGAGGUUAGCUUUACUGCCCUUUCUUCUACACUUUUACUGUAUCCCUGUUCAUCCACAAUCUGUCUUACCGAAUUUUUUCUUUUGUUCUUCUUUUCAUUUUAAAAUCUUUAGGAUUUGGCCGACAAGAUUGUAAUCCCUACCGAUCAACCCCAUCUCCAAUGCCUCGGUCCACUAGGAAACUUAGAUCCCACCAAUCUUAUAAACGCAAAGACAAACAGAAUCCCCUUUAGAGCUGAGAAUUUUUCUCUAGAUCUAUGGAAAGAUGCUUUCUGCUCCUGGCCCAGUCCUACCAAGGGAUGGAAGGAUUGGUUCCUGAGAGUCAGUAACUCAAAUGAGGUCCAAUGGGGUGAAAAAAAUUAGAUCAGUGCAUCAGAUUGUCUCUUGCCGAUAUGGAGAGAAAUGAGUCACGAUAGCUGCCUCAUACUUUUGGUCAGACACACUCAAUGCUUUUGUGUUUGGCCAUGGCCCUGCUUCACCUACACUUGCUGAUGUGCUUAUGCUCACCGGAUUAGAUAUAUCCACUACCGAUACCACCCCCCUGUUUGACACCAAACCCAGUGCUACGGUGGAAACUCGUGCUAUCGGCGGUUGGUCAGGGUACAUUGAGAAGUACCGAAGAACAGGCCCUGUCAAUGCAAAGGAACAGACCACUUUUUUGAACAUGUGGCUGGAUAAAUUCGUAUUCUGUGGCCGAUCGGUAGGACCAACUUCUGUUUACCUAUCGGUAGCAGAAAGAUUAGCCAAUGGUGGUUGAUUUCCCCUUGGCCGAUACUUGCUUGGCUCGGCUUAUCACCUCCUCCACCAAGUAGCUAGAAAACUUCUGCUUGGCCAACCCAUCGGCAAGUUAGGGGGUCCCUGGUGGUUCAUCAAUAUGUGGCUUAGUCUCCACAUGCACAAGCGCCUUGAGUUCGACCUCUUCGCACAGCGCUUCCCCAGGGAUAUAGCCGAGGAUUAUGAACUGGAUGAAGAAGAAUCGGCAACUCGUUCCCCUCUGAACUUUGGCGAAGCUGCCAUAGUUUUGCGUGGCACAGGUGGUAACGCAGACCAGAUUAGCCGAUUCUUUCAGACUCUGUACGAGGGUCUGACCAGAGAACAGUGAGCAUGGAUGCCUUAUGAAGAUCCAGACACCAGAUUUCCUUUGAUCUUCCACCCCUUCAACGAUGCUCUCAACAAGGAUCAUGACGUGAUGAUGGCAACCAUCACCCCAAGAGCCAUACUAGUGAACUUCUUUGGAAGUGGGAAAGCUUCUAAUCUGACUUAUGAGUUCUACAAUCCAUCGGCACUAGCUCAUCAACUGGCUUUUGGCCAACUGCCGAUUGCACUUUGCUACGCUGAUGUGAUAAAACUGAGGGAGACUAUCACUAACCAUCUGGAAUGGAUCAGAAUAGCUCAACUUCCACCAAACGCCGAUACAGAUGUCGAUCUAUCGGCUUGGAUCCCAACUUUAUUCAUCACUCAGGCAUACAAACAGUGGUGGGAAGAAUGGAAAGAACACUUGUUCUGCAGAUCGGCUCUCACAUACCGUGGCAUGAUCGAUCCUCAGUACAAAGUUCCUGAUAAUACUGUAAGUAUUUCAAUACUGACGCUUCAAUCCCUUCACUUUUAUUUUCCAUCGGUAACUUACUUUCUUUGUUAUAUAGAGGCCGAUGCCAUACCACCACUAGUCAACAGGAGUGGUAGGCCGAUUGAGCUCCUUCCAUCAGGCCCGAUCUCGCUGAUCGGCAACAACGCUCCAACCUUGGCUGCCAUAAUGCAUCAGGGUGUGUGCCUUAAAAAGGUCACGACUAAGCGGACAAAGUCAUCUCCAUCGGUAGCCGCCACUGCCUUAGCACAAGCAUUCAAGGUAAAUUUUUUAUACCGAUUCCAUUCUUAUGCCUAUUACAUUUGUACUCAUAAACUUCUCAUUGUUGUAUCAGCACACCGGUACAUCGGCAAAGACCAGAAGUACGACUGCCGAUGCCCCCCAGUCCAGUCAACCGAAGAGAAAAGCUCCCAAGAGUACCAGAUCACAAGCGAAGCGCCAGAGAACAGCAACGCCUCCCCCUCCUCCAAGGUCACCGAUCCCGGUGGAAUCGUCUCCCUCUUCUCCAAAAGCCCAAAUACAACAAGUACCAUCUCCUCCUCAGCCAUAGGAAGAACCCCAAACAGAAGAACUUCAGCCAGAGGAACCUCAGCCAGAAGAUACGUUGGCUGACGUGCACGAGCAAACCGCCGAUCUAGCAAGCUCAAUCAUAGGAUCGGUAGUCUCCUCGAUUCAGACAAGUACUGCACCCCCUCAAGGUAAUAUACUUCUCAUUCAUUGUCAAUGAACCUCUUUUUCCACUUUAUUAAUCUUUCUGUCAAUCUUUCAGCCGAGAUAGUUUCAUCGGCAACUCCAGCCGAUCAGCGUGUGGUUCCAUCGGCUUCAACUAGUUAGAGGCGAGAGAUAGCUCUGAAGCACGUAAGUUACCCGAUCUUUAUUUUUAUUGUUAUCAGUACUUGAUCACAAAAUAACUUAUUCUGUCUUCUUUUUCAGGAGUAGGAUUCUCCCGACAACCUGUUCUCCUUCGCCAUCGAGAUCUCUGAGGAUGAAGGCGAGGAAGCAAGUUCUUCUCGAGCAGUUGGAAUCUCAUCGGCAGAGAUUAGAGCAAAGCUGGCGGAUCUGUCAGCCCUUCUCCAUCAAGAUACAGCGCAAUUGGUCGAUGACUCUAAUCCAGCCAAAGUUCUGUUCAAGGCCCUCAGAGGUCAAAUCCCUGCCGAUGCCGAAGAGGUUCUUUUUCAGGCUGCACACUUAGAGAGUCGUCAGCUGCAGUAUCAAAAGGCUGCUCAACGUCUUGCCAAUAGAGCUGCUCACGCUCAGCUCUCAGAGGAAAUGAUGAAAGUGAAGCUCCUUGCCGAUGAGAAGCAUAAGAGCAUCGGCAUUCUAAAAUUCUCAGGAGAUGUACUAAAGCAAAAGAUCUCUGAUCUAUCGGCGAGAAGGGAAACUCUGUUGGCUGAACUCAGACAAGUGGAAGAAGCUCUGUCCCAAGCUCAACAGGAAGAAAGCCAGCUGCCUGAAGCAAUCAAGACUCUUGAACAAGAUCGAAACAUCCAGGCCCGUAAAGCACUGCAGAUGAAGAAGAAACUAAAGCCAGUGGAAGUCUCUGCCAAUGAUGACAUGAGGGAGAUAGAAGAAGCUAAUCAGAUCCGUCUGCGCGCCAUAUCGACGAUCCAGGCUCUGUUAAACAUGUAAACUCUUCAUCGGCGGCACACUCUGCUCUUUUCUUUUAAAUACUCCUGAUAUUUUGGUCUAGCCGAUAGGACUAUUAUCGGCACCUUUUAAAACAUUGAGUUUGGCCCCAGAUACACUUUGAUCCAGCCGAGAGGAAUAUUAUCAGCACUCUAAACUUUUAUGCAUCAACCCACAUGCUAGGAUAAUAUUUAUUUAGAUAUUUGCCAUUCAAUGCCCUGGGAAAUUCAACUCCAUCGAGAGUUUCUAAAAUAUAAGCAUUGCCAGGAGCAGAUCGAUUUAUCCAAUAAGGACCUUCCCAAUUGGGAGACCACUUCCCAAAUUUUGAACUUUUAGUCCCGAUCGGUAAGAUUAGUUUCCAUACUAAGUCUCCAUCGGCAAACUCCAUAGCCUUUACUUUCUUAUCAUACCAUCUGGGAACUCUUUUCUUAUUCUCUUCUAUACUUAUCAAAGCCCUUAGCCGAUGCCUUGCUAAAUCAUCCAACUUGUCUUUUAUCAAAGUAGCAUAGUCAUCGACAGCCAAUUGGUCCUAAAAAGAUAGUCGCCUAGAUCCAGUCUUAAUUUUCCAAGGUAACACUGCAUCAUGUCCAUACACCAACUGAUAAGGUGAAACUUUGGUCGACCCAUGACAAGCCAUCCGAUAUGACCAUAAAGCUUCAUUUAACAAUGUAUGCCACCUCUUAGGAUUUUCUUCAAUCUUCCGCUUAAUAAGUUUGAUAAUUCCUUUGUUAGAUGCCUCGGCCUGUCCAUUAGCUUGAGCAUAACAAGGAGAAGAAUUCAACACCUUAAUUCCCAUACUGCUUGCAAACUCAUCAAACUCCCCCAAUGUAAACAUAGUACCCUGAUCGAUAGUAAUUUUUUGAGGAAUACCAAAUCGGUAAAUAAUAUGCUCUUUCACAAAAUCAAUCAUAUUGGCCGAUGUAACUUUCUUCAAAGGAAUAGCCUCAAAUCAUUUGGUGAAAUAAUCAGUGGCAACAAAGAUGAAUUUAUGCCCUUUACAUGAUGGCGGGUAAAUCUGGCCGAUUACGUCGAUAGCCCAUCCUCGGAACGGCCAGGGUUUGAUAAUAGGAUUCAUGGCCGAUGCGGGUGCUCUUUGAACAUUGCCAAAUUUCUGACAUCCUUGACACCCUUUGAAAUACUUAAAACAAUCCUCAAGUAUAGUCGGCCAAUAAUAUCCAUUUCUCCUAAUCAUCCACUUCAUCUUAAAUGUCGACUGAUGUGCUCCACACACUCCUUCAUGGAUCUCUCUCAUUAAACUCUUAGCUUCAUCAUCACCUAAGCAUUUAAGAAGAACUCCAUCAAUUGUCCGAUAAUAUAGCUCAUCCUCGAGGAGCACAUACUUGGUAGCCUGAAAUCAGACACGUCUCUCCACUCUCUUGGAUGGAUCCUUUAAAUAAUCAACGAUUUCUUUGCUCCAAUCAUCGGCACCGAUUGCCGAAAACAUGUUAACCAUAGGUUGAUACCCUGAAGCAUGCUGAGCCAACCGAUUAGCCUCCUCAUUAUGUAAUCGAGGAACAUGCUCUAAUCGGAAAUCUUUGAAUUCCUUUAAUAGUCGCAUACUUUUUUCAUAAUAAGCUAUCAGGACCUCGCUUCGGCAUUCAUAGCUUCCAGCCAAUUGAUUUGUAACCAACAUAGAGUCCCCGAAGACUUCAACAGCAUAAGCAUGGACUUCUCUUAACAAUUCCAACCCCUUUAUCAAAGCUUGAUACUCGGCUUGAUUAUUCGUUGACGUGGCAAGAAUCGGCAAGGAGAACUCAUACUUCCUUCCCUGAGGGGAAAUUAACACUAUGCCGAUUCCUGCCCACCGGUCACACGUGGAUCCAUCAAAGAAGAGCGUCCAAGGUACAAUUUCCAAAGUCUCCACUGCACCACGAUGUUGCAUCACAAAAUCGGCCACAACCUGCCCCUUAACCGCCUUAGCCGAUUCGUACCGCAGAUCAAAUUCCGACAGUGCCAAGAUCCACUUACCGAUCCGACCACUCAUAAUCGGCAUAGACAGCAUAUAUCGGACCAUGUCAUCUUUGCAUAUGACAGUGCAUUCAGCUGAUAACAAAUAGUGCCUCAACUUAAUACAUGAGAAAUAUAGGCAUAAACAAACCUUUUCAAUGGCCGAAUACCUAGUCUCAGUAUCAACCAAUCUUCUGCUGAAAUAGUAAAUUACACGCUCCUUCCCUUCAAAUUCUUGAAUCAAAUCUGAACUGAUGACCAUCCCAUCGGUAGACAAAUAUAAUCUGAAGGGCUUUUCUUGCUGAGGUGGAAUCAGCACUGGAGGAUUUAUCAAAUAAUUCUUGAUUUCAUCUAAAGCCAACUGUUGCUCUUUUCCCCAUAUGAACUCUUGAUCGGCUUUCAAUUUAAGCAAAGGACUGAAAGCACGAAUUUUACCAGACAAAUUAGAUAUGAACCUCCUGAUAAAAUUUACCUUGCCGAUCAUGGACUGAAGCUCAGUUUUGUUUGUAGGAGCAACUAUUUUGUUGACAGCAUCAAUGGAUCUCAUACUAAUUUCAAUUCCCCUUUGAUGCACCAUGAAACUAAGAAUUGUCCUACCGACACGCCCAAUGCACACUUAUUAGGGUUCAUCUUUAAACCAUGCUUCCUUGUGCAUUCCAACACCUUUCGCAAAUCGGCAAGAUGUUUUGUGAAAUCUCCAGACUUAACCACUACAUCAUCAAUAUAAAUCUCCACCAACUUGUCGAUGAACUCAUGAAAGAUAAAAUUCAUGACCCUCUGAUAAGUAGCACCAGCAUUUUUCAAGCCAAAGGUCAUGACUAUCCAUUCAAACAACCCAACAUGACCAGGACAUCUAAAUGCAGUCUUUGGAAUAUCUUCUUCAGCCAUGAAUAUUUGAUUGUAUCCUGCAUUGCCAUCCAUAAAGCUGAUGAUCCGAUGCCCAGCCGCAGCAUCAACUAGUAGAUCGGCAACUGGCAUUGGGUAACCAUCCAUCGGCGUAGCUUUAUUAAGAUUCCUGAAAUCAAUGCAAACCUGAAGCUUCCCAUUUUUCUUGUAAACUGGAACAACAUUGGAAAUCCACUCGGCAUACCGACAUUGCCGAAUAAAUUUAGCUUCAAUAAGUUUGGUUAUUUCGGCCUUAAUAUCAGGAAGGAUAUUAGGAUUACAUCGGCGAGCUGGCUGUUGAUGUGGUUGAAAUCCAGACUUGAUGGGUAACCGAUGUUCAACAAUCGAUCGGUCUAAACCAGGCAUCUCAGUAUAAUCCCAAGCAAAGCAAUCUUUAUAUUCCUUUAACAAAUUGGUUAACUGCUGCUUACACUCAGAAUUUAACUUAGCGCUAAUAAAAGUAGGCCUAGGCUUAUCGCCACUACCUAUAUCUACCUCUACUAAAUCAUCGGCCAAUGUGAAUCCCUGGCCUAACUUUCCAUCAUCGGCGAACCUAUCCAUUAAAACUCCUCAUCAGAGCCGACUGCUUGGAUCGGUGGAAUUUCAUAAUCGGCAACUUUGAGGAAAUCUUUCUCCCAAAUUUCUCCCGAGAUACACCUAGUCCUUUCAUAGGUGUCUGCUUCUACCGAUGCAAUGACAUACGAAGAAUCUCCCGGGACGAUCUCAAUCUUGUCACCUACCCACUGAACCAAACACUGGUGCAUUGUAGAUGGGAUGCAACAAUUGGCAUGAAUCCAGUCUCUUCCUAGCAGCAAAUUAUAAGCACCUUUUCCACUGAUCAUAAAGAAGGUUGUCGGCAAGAUUUUGCUGCUGAUAGUCAACUCGACAUAGAUUGCCCCCUUAACCGGAGACACAUUCCCUUCAAAGUCCUUUAGCAUCAUAUCGGUCUUGGUUAAAUCUUGAUCUCCUUUCCCAAGUUUCCGAUAGACUGCAUACGGCAUGAUAUUAAUAGCAGCCCCUCCAUCAACUAAUAUCUUGGUCAUCGGCUGCCCAUCAACUCCCCCUUUGACAAACAGGGCUUUAAGAUGCUGCCUUUCAUUGUCGGCAGGCUUUUCAAAGAUAGCUGUCAUCGGAUCCAGAGCCAACUGAGCUAUCAGGUCGGAAAACUCGAACUCUUCAUCAUCACUGGAUGGCGCGAGGAACUCCAUCAGCAACACAAAUACCAUGUUAACAUCUGCCGAUGGCCCUUUCCCCUUAGGAUCCAGUUGUUACUGAUCCCCAGACUGGCCAGAGUUCUCGCCCUUGCUUAGCUCUUCUCGUCUUUCGCGCUGUAGUCUCCUUUUCUGUGUCUUAGUCAACCCCUCUGGACACCAUGGGGGAAGUGGUGACUGCCUUGCCGAUGGACGACGAUGUUCCCUUGACUCCAUCCGAUGAGUAUUAGCGUCCCUGCAAAAUAUGAACUCAUCGGGAGCUCGUGCAUUUGCCAUCUCUUCAAGCUCUUCUUGAUUUCUAGGAAAAUAUUGAACACGAUCACCAAGCCUAUCGUGUACACUGAGUCUGCCCCCCAGCCGAUCAUGAACUGACGCUCUCCCUCUAAUCGGCCCAUUAAACUGCCGAUCAUCAUCAUGAUAGCGCCGAUUAGGUCUGUCGUAACAAUCAUAACCAUUGCAUUCAGGGCAAUCUCUAACAGUGGGUAAUUUAAUAUUCUGCUCCCAGCAAUGGAUAAAGAACGAGCAAUUCCAGUGAUCUCUGUGCCGAUUCCACUCCUGUCGGCGUCUUUCUUCUUCCCGAUGAUAGUCUUCUUGCUGGCGCCGAUACCGAUCUUCACGUUGCUGCCAGGUUUCCCGAGGCCUUCUAUGAGUUAUCACAAUACCGGAUCGGGGAGGCCUUCCUGAGCUAUUUCCUUCUUGGAUCAAGCCUUUUCCUUUCGCAUCGGCAGUAGUGAUCUGAUGCUGAGGAUCCACCGAUGCACUUCUUUCAGCUGCUUCUGACGUCAAGACCUUGGCUUUUCCCUUAGCAUCCAGCAUAUUAGUUGGAAAAGGAUGUUGAUCAAUCUUCAUCGGCUUCUGAGUUUUGGAAUUGUCAAAUUUGAUUCUCCCAGAUUCUAUAGCUGAUUGCAACUAUUGCCUGAAAACUUUGCACUCAUUGGUGCUGUGAGAAGUUGCAUUGUGCCACUUGCAAUAUUUCAUCUUCUUCAACUCUUCAGCCGAUGGAAUCACAUGAUUGGGUGACAACUUGAUCUGGCCUUCCUGAAGUAGAAAGUCAAAUAUUCUAUCGGCUUUAGUGAUAUCAAAUGCGAACUUCUCCGGCUCUUUAUGCCCAAAAGGGCAAGACAUCGGCUUCUUGUUCUUUACCCACUCUGCUAAGCCGAUGACUGGCACCUCAUCAGAAUCCGAGCUUGUUGCUUCAUCAACAAAUGACACCUUUUUGUUUCAUGCUCUCUUGGGCUCAAAAAGUCUGAUAUCCUGAUCAGAAAUUCUCUACACCAAGUGACUUAAGCUUUCGAACUCUUGAGAGGCAUACUUGUCCCUGACGUGUGGCAACAAACCUUGGAAAGCCAAAUCGGCUAGCUGCCGAUCGUCCAAAACCAGACUAUAGCAUUUGUUGUUGACCUCCUGCAAUCUCUGCACAAAACUUUCAACCGAUUCAUCAUUGCGUUGCUUCAAUUUACCAAAUCGGUGAUCUUCUUCUCAUGGACUCCAGAAAAGAAGUAUUUGUGGAAUUGUUUCUCCAGAUCGGCCCAGGUGAUCACUGAGUUGGAAGGUAAUGAUAUAAACCAAGUGAACGCCGAUCUAGACAAUGAUGACGAGAAUAAACGAACCCUCAAUUCGUCUCUGUUAGCAGCCUCGCCACAUUGGAUGAUGAACCUGUUAACAUGCUCCAUAGUUGACGUAUCAUCCUGUCUAGAAAACUUGGUGAAAUCGGGUACCUUGUACCGAUUUGGAAGUGGAUUCAAAUCAUAUGCAGGAGGAUACAGUGUCCGAUAAGAGUAAGUGUUGACUUUGGGUUUUAUCCCAAAUUGGUCUCUCAUUACUUCAGCAAUCUUAUCGGCCCAAUAAGCAUCGACAUCUUGCCGAUGGGGUGGUUGUGGAUCUGGCGCCUGCUGAUAAACCUCCACGUGUCGCUGAGGCGCACGAUCUGCAUGGAACAUGGGGUUGAUCGUCUGACCACCAAACUGUUGACCAAGAUUCAUCGGCUGGUUGGCCAACCCUUGAUUCUGGAACCCCGGUUGGAUCUAGCCUUGUUGAAACCCUGUAGCCUGAUGAUUAUGUUGAGGCAUCUAAGGAAAGACUGACUGCCCUGUCCAUCCAUUGUUGGUGUUCAUCGGCAUAAACUCUGCCGAUGACUGGAAAUUGGGCAUCAUCAUUGAGUUGACAUACCCUGGCUGAGUCAUAAACCUCUGUUGCGUCGGCAUUGAAUCUGCCGAUGUGUUAGGCAUCUGGAACAUUGGAGCUUGAGAAUUCCCAGUGUAAGGUAUUGCAGUAGUAGUUGUAGUAUACUGGGGACUCUGAUUCAUCGGCAGAUUGGGAGGUGCCGAUGCCAUAGGAGCCUUGCCUCUUGUAUCAGUCGUCUGAGAUGUUCUAGGAGUCUUCAACAUCAUCUCCGGGGGCAUGCCAUAACCCCACCAGUCAGGAGGAACAGAUCCCGACAUUGUCGACGCCAAUAGAUCUGUGGCAAGCUUGAUUGACUCAUCUGAUGUUGAUGGGUUGGUCGGCAUUGGUGUGGAUUGUGCAUUAGUGACUCCUAACGUGCUUGGAGGAACGGUAGUUUCUGUGCUCGCAGCGGCCAUAGCAGCCGAUGGAGCUGUAACGACUGGUGAUCCUAGCUGAUGAUAAACAGGGCCCACAUAUUUGGUGGCAAUUGUCCUUCUUUGAAAGUUCUAGCCACGGCAUUGAAAACCGUAUUGGACAGCACACCAGCUUGAUUGAUCAAGGUAUGGUUAAUAGCACUAUCAACCAUGUCUUGAAGUUUACCAGGAUUGGCUUCAAAAGUAACCUGCCGAGGUGCCGGCAGCGCUUCCUUCUGGAUCGCCUCACCACUCCUAUUGAUACUGAAGGAUUUCAAAUAUUGCUGCUUGUAGUCCUCCAUAGCUUUUGCAAUAGCUUGCUUCUGCUCAUCUCUGAGAUUGGCUUCUGUCACGGGGAUGACAUUCUCCAAGUCAAACUUGGAAGUCGCCAUGUCGAUCUUGAUCUUGAAUCUAGUCCCACUGGGCGUGCCAAAAGAUGUGUUGAUGCAAAACAGAUCUGCAAACACAAAGGGCUAAUACCCAAUUCAAACGUUAAGGCGUGCCAGCCGAUUUGACCUUACUAUCGGCAAAGGUGAUAACUCGACCACUUUGGUCCCGGCAACAGCGAUGCGCCCGGAUGUCACGGCCAAGAGGUGAUCACGCGGAACUUGAGAACACGCCGAGCUUAAGUCGACGAAUUCCUAAGAACUCGUAGUAAAAAGGAAAAAUAUGACAAAGUCGUCGAAAAAGUAGAUGCAAGAGUAUGAGUAAAAACUUGUGUUUGAUUGAUUGAUAGAUAUCCAUUACAAGGCCCUAGGGUCUACAUUUAUACCCUGCUCAAAGAGCUACAAUCAGACACGACUAGGACUCGAAUUCCAAACUAAACAGAAUCCGUAUACAAAACAAAUUUAAAUAACUAAGGAAAACACAAAACUACUCCCUUGUAACCAGCCGGGACACUGCCUCAGAUCAAUCAGCAAUCUCCACCCUUUCCUUCAGAGUCAUCGGCAAACCUCCUCUCAUAGCCAUCGGCAAACACCAAUACUGAUUAUCGGCAUGAUCACACCACCACCUUCUGGACUUAGUCACAUUCAAUUGUCUCUUCAUCGGCAACAACCUCCAUCGGCAACAUCCCUGCAGAUUAGUUACCGUUGCUCUAUCUACCGAUCCGUACUCUGCUGAUCUCUAGAUACGUGUCUAAAAAUGGUGUCAACAAUUGGUAAUCUAUGACUCAUUGAGAAAACCACAGGAUGAUUACCAAGAAAUGAUAGAUAUUAUCUAAGGGUAACUCCGAUCUCUAUAUAUUAAAUUCUCCUCUUUCAACUUGGUAAUAGAUAAUUAAUAAUGAUCGUUUUAUUGGUAGGGUUUGGGUUGGGUUCGUGCAGAAACACCGUCCAGAGUUGAAUGCAGCACUUUCAAAGCCCAUCUUACUUCAGUGGGUUCUAAGGCAGACACCGGGCAACAAUUUGUGUGGCUACUAUGUGUGUAAGUUUAUGACAGUCUAUGCCAAAAGAACUAAUCUUGAGCACCUAAAAGUAUGUAACAUGUAUAUAUAAUAAGUUUAUUUCAUUUAUUUGUUGCUAUUUAAUAAAUCCUAUUCAUACCUCUAACUUUUUUCUUUAAUGUCUAUUAAAGGAGAUGUGGCUGAAGGAGCAUGUGUUGGAUGCGGUGCGCCUAAAAGGAAUUCAGGAGACAAUCGCAGGAUUUCUUAACGACCAAGUCUUGAAUCCCGGCGGCGAGUGCUACUUCAACCAUCAGGAGCCAAUGAAACCAAAUAACGAUGAUCAUUUGUACGAUGCUUGAGUGGCGGAGAUAAAUUGUGUUGUAAAUACUUUGUCCGUGAAGCAUAUGUGUAAAUAUUAUAUUAUGGACCUAUAGAUACAAAUUAUUUAUAUAUAUAUAGUGUUUUAUAGUAUAUUUAUAUGUAAUGCUUUAAAUUAUAUAAAUUAUAGGUGCGCGUUCCAUAAACUACCAGAAAACAAUACGCAUUUGAAAAUAACAAUAACAGAAUUGUAAACCCUAAAUGGAAAACCAAAUGAAAAGAAAAAGAAAAAAGUCUUUAGUCCCGGUUGGUAGUAACAACCGGGACUAAAAGUGGAGGCCAGGUGGCACACCCUGGCGCACCUUUUAGUCCCGGUUGCUGUUACCAACCGGGUCCUCGGAACCGGGACUAAAGGUGGGACAUAUAGUCCCGAAACCUUAGCCCCGGUUCCGUAGCCGGGACUAAAGGCCCUUACAGCCCGGGGCUAAAGCCCUUCCCUGUACUAGUGGAGUAUUAUACAUAAUUUUUGAAAUAAAAUAUACAUACAUACAUCAAGAUUUAGAUAGUAUAAGUAUAUACUUAAACAUUAGAAAAACCAUUAUUUUAAUCAUAGGUAGUAUGAAAUGAUACUCUAAUCUGUGAAGUAUCAACUGGUACAUGGUGGCAAGAGGCGUAUGCAGAGUUGCGGAUAUACUGCAUGCGUAUUUUCCUAAGUAUAUCUACAUACAUGAUUUCCUGAGUAUAUCAAGACGUCACAUCUACUGGAUCCUCCAUUUUGACCGGGUAUAGUUGAUGCUGCUGCCGAUGAGAUGACGCCGCGUCGAGGUAUAGACCGCCCUCGGGGACUGCCGUGCCCACUGGUUAGAACGUCGUAUCGUAGGGUGCCGUACGGGUCGAGCCAAGCAACUGCUGGAGGAAAGGACAAAAAUGUCAUGAGAUCCAUGGAGUCCAAGGCGUCGUCGGAGAGGGAGUGGCCGCAGCCCAGAGUCCUUGUGCGGGGAUGGGGAGCCAGACGCGUCGCCUUCGUCGUGGUCGAUGGCCGGCGGCAGUGUGAGCUCUAGCAACCCCGUCGACAUGGCAGCGAAGUGCAGAUCUGGAGGCGAACCACGCGAGCACGUCGGCGACGGAUAGGAGCACUGGGAUGUCGGCGGCGAGCAUGGCUGCAAGAUGCGCGUGGUCAUCUGCUGAGAUGUGCAGCAGAUCCCCGGUGCUCCAGCACAGCGCGGCCGCCAGCGACAGCCGAGGUAAACAGCGGCGGCGGUGGUGGCAGACGGGAAACCUGCGAGGCGAAGCUUCCGCAAAAUUCCAGAUUCCUUUCGGUGACCGAGGAAAAUAUAAAGUGGUGCAAGCCGGUAAUUUCGGAUCUCCAAAGUGCGGUUAAUGAUGAUCGUAAAAUAAAUAAAUUAAUAAUUAAUUAAAUAUGGCGAUCUAUACUUAUAUACUCCGAACGGGUAGCGACGUAUACAUUGUGAUCCAAUAAGACUUCUCACCGUGGCUCGCUUAGAGUAGUUACACGUCGGUGUAGAAGGGAAUUACUUAUUUUACCUUUUCAUAUUUCUUAUGUUUCUUCAUUGUUAUUUUAUAUUUUAUUUCCUUUUAAUCUUAUUUAAAUUAUUCAUUAAUUUUAUUUGCUCUAUGCACUUUUUAUCAUUUGUUAAUUAUGUUUGUUUUUAUAUUUUUUCUUCGUAAUUUUAUUUUUUUAUUUUUAUUUUCUAUAUGUAUGUGAUAUUUAUGUAGUAUAUAUUUAGUGUUUUAUAUUGUGUUAUGUCAUGUUUACGUAGUAUACAUAUGAUGUUCUAUGAUGUUUCUUAUGGUGUUACUUAGUAUACGUGUAAUCUAUAAUAGAUGUGAUGUUAUAUAAUAUAUUUAAUGAUAUUCUACGAUGUAUUUAGUGAUGUUAAUGUUCUAUAAAUAUAUUUACGAUAUUUGAAAAGUAACCCUUUGACAUUAUUUGAAAAUUUUCUCUAUUUUGUGUUUUUAUUUUUUUCUUAUGCUUUUUACUCUAGAUUUUUUUUUAUUUUUAUCUAUGUCAUGUAUUUAUGUAUUUUUAUGUAUAUUGUAAUAUCAGUUUCAUAAACCUAAAAACAAAAUACUAUUCUUCUAAAUCGAUAACAUUUUUUACAAAAACAGAACAUUGUCUCUUGAACCUAGAAUAUUAUCUCUACUUAAUAAAAGAAAAAAUUUUAUCUAAAUAUAUCCUUGUGUGAUCUUGUUUUGAAGGAUUUGUUAUAAAAAAUUUAAUGGUAGAAUCAGAAUUUAAUUUAUAUAUCUGGUUUAGAAGUUAUGACUUUUUUAAUUCGCUAAAACAAUUUUGCAUGCAAGGGUGAGUGAGGCUUGGGUUGAUGGGAUAGCCUAUCAUGGCAUAGUAAAAGGGGUGGGAGUUGUGGCUUCACCAUGGGUGUAGUAGACAGGUCCUCUCCAUAAUUUUUAGUUGUAGAGAUUGCUACGGUGUCAUGGUGGUGUGGUGGACCGUGCUUACUUUACAAGUAGGAGGUCUUGUGUUUGAGUCCCCUCCUUGGGUAUUUUUGCCAUUUUUCGUUAUUUCUCAAGAUUAGCUAGAACGGCCAAGUCACAGGAGAAAACUGAAUUGGGAACGAGGGCUUAGAAUAUGCGGGGGAAAAAUUGCGGGACGACGGUCGAUAUUAUAUUUGUUUUCAUAUUUCUGAUCGAAUUCGGAUAAUAUCAACCAUAUCAGAUAAGAUACGAUUAGCUAUCGAUAUCAUAAAUAUACGGUUUAAGUAUUCAGAUACGGAUACAGUAUCGAAUGUUAAGGGGGUAUUUGGGAUUGCUCUCCUUCUUGUUUUUUACUCUGCUCCACGUUUUUUAGCCAAACAGUUUCAGCUCCAGGCACUCAGUUCGAGAAAAAAUGGUGGAGUUGUGAGAGCACCUAAAGAGUUACUCCACGAACUCUAGUUUUUUGUGGAGCUGCUCCAUGGUGGAGUUUGUGGAGCAGAGUUCGUGGAGCAGUGUCAAACACCCCCUAAAUAUUCGUACUCAGAUACAGACAGAUCUGUCACACCUUGGUGUUCAAAAUAAGACCAAAGUCGUCAUAUGUGUGCCCAGGAAGUCCACACAUACAACAAAAGAAUAGAAAUAUCAGAAACAAUGUUAUAUAUAGCGGAAAACAUAUUUAUAUUAACACUUACAAACAUCAGAGUACGCGGAAACAGUAGCUAAACUUCUUAGGCUCCAUUCUUCUCAGGGACGGCUGACUGGGGGCUUCGUACGCCAAGCACUUCUGAUAAACUUCUAGAAAAACUCCAUAGCACUUUUUGUCCUUCUUUUGAGCAGCACUUUACUACAUACUGGGGUGUGGGGGAAAUAGCAAGGGUGAGUUCAUGUCAAACUCAACAAGUACAGGCGGAAAGUAUAAUGACAUGCAAGGCUUAAUCAAAGGAAAAGCUGACACUGUUUAACUACAGGUGAGCUUUUAAGUUGGUACACUUUUAUUACAAUUCUUUUAUUAAAACAAUCUAUUACUAAAUAUGAGUGAAGCAUCCUGUUGACAGUCCUUAAGUAUCAAAUUUAAUCAUCAAAUAAAUAAAGAAAAGGAUCCAAAUGCAACCAACACCCAGACUUAGGGGUUUAUCUGACAGAAUUCCACGAGUUUUGGUGUUUGUCUAUUUCUGCAGGGGGUUAUCAGGAAAUAUGGAGGAAAGGCCCAUGCGUCGGGUUUACAUAGAGAUAUUAAUGUGUGCGGCAAUUUUCUAUCAUCUAGAAAACUCCAGAAGCCACGGGAACGAACGGGAGGCCG
This 52985-nucleotide long non-coding RNA is filed under the name Sorghum bicolor (sorghum). RNAcentral's name for it is "long non-coding RNA (SBIC_LNC014742)". The record is from RNAcentral. Lineage: Eukaryota; Viridiplantae; Streptophyta; Magnoliopsida; Poales; Poaceae.